Molecule: long non-coding RNA, 77362 nt
Filed under: Cicer arietinum (chickpea)
Lineage: Eukaryota; Viridiplantae; Streptophyta; Magnoliopsida; Fabales; Fabaceae
Description: long non-coding RNA (CARI_LNC000711)
Source: RNAcentral
ACGAAAACGACGUAGACGUGGUAAUAGAUCCGCAAAUAGAUUAGAACCACCUUAAGAUUUGAACACGUGUCCAUUGAUAUUUAUUAUUCUCUCUCCUCAAAUCACGCUAUAAAUCAGACUUCAAGGCACUCUUCAUUCAUUCAAGCUUGUUUGUUUGUUUUGUGUAAAAAAUCAUCUUUUGUUGUUUGUUGUCUAGUUUUUAUUAGAACUGAAAAUGUCUUGCUGUGGUGGUAACUGUGGAUGUGGAAGCAGCUGCAAAUGCGGCAGUGGCUGUGGAGGGUGAGAUUUUCAUUCAUACCUUUUUUUUUUGGGGGAAAAAAGGGAUUUGUUUUGUGUGUGAUCUCACUUGAGCCUCUGUUUUGGGUACCCUUCUUUUUGAAUUGCAUGAAAAAAUGGUGUUUGAUUAUGCUGGGAAAAUUUUGAUCACAUUAUUUCUUGUUGAAGGUGUUUUCGAUUUUUUGGGGCAAAAUUUUUCAUGGUCUUUUGAUUGAUUUUUGAGGUACCCUUUUAGUUGAAUUUCAACAACAAAUUGAGUUUUGAUUGAUUUUUUGGGUACCCUUUUAGUAUUUUUUGUGUGUGUCUAGGAUACCCUAUUAGUUUAAUUUAACGAGAAAAACAAUCUGAUUUUGAUUGAUUACUAAGGGUACCCCUGUUGUUGAAUUUUAAGAGAAAGUGAUGUUUUUGUCACCAUACAUCACUUUCUGCUAGUGAUAUUCUAAUAGCUUUUGAGACUUUGUUCAAUUUCACAAAGAUGCUAUGUAUCUAUCUUUCAUUUACUUUUAUGUAUCUAGUUGUACAAAGAUUGCUAUGUUUCUAUUCUGUAUGGCUUUAACUAAAAGAAAUAAUUUUUAAAUUAACUAAGAUAUUAAUUAAAAAUAUAUUUUUGGGAAUCUUAAAAUCAUAAACAUGAAACACCUGAUUAUGUCGUGUCAUUAUACUUAAAUAUUUUAUUUUGUAUAUGAUGCAGCUGCAAGAUGUACCCAGACAUGAGCUACACAGAGCAAACAACAAGUGAGACUCUUGUUAUGGGAGUUGCAUCUGGUAAGACUCAAUUUGAAGGUGCUGAAAUGGGUUUUGGAGCUGAGAAUGAUGGCUGCAAGUGUGGAUCAAACUGCACCUGCAACCCUUGCACCUGCAAAUGAAGUGGAUAAUGAAAUCUUCAAGCAAAGAUGGUCCUUAAUUAUCUCAUUAGUGGCAGGAUUAAUAAUAACAACAAUAUAGCUUAUGGUUAUUAUAUAUUGAGUUAUGUGUUAUGUGUACUUCUGGUGUUUGGUUUAAAAUCUAAACACCCUUUUGGAGUAUUAGAAUAAAGUUGCAAUGUUCUGUUUACCCUUUGAGCGAAUUCUAUUGUCUUGGAUUUGUGAUGAUGGGUGUAUUUUAGUUUUAAUCAUGGUUUCAUUGUUUGUUUAUGUUUUUGUUGCUUUUGUAUAAAGUUCGGCUAAUCUGAACCAUCAAUAUCUGCUUAUUAAUGAAAUAAAGGGAAAUGACAAUUCAAGUAAGGAAACAUUGAGUUGUAAAACACAAUAUGCACUUGUGUCAAACGACACUCAAAGAGUUUGAUUUAUGAAAUAAGUACUAGUGGUAAAAACUGUCCCACCAAGUUGUUUGCAUAGCAGAAAUAUAUUUCUUUGCUCUUGGGGGAACUCGUGAUUUGUACUUGUUUUUUCUUCCCUCUAAGAGUCUUGACCUUCCAAGCACUUUCUAUUGUUGCCACUUAGCCAGUUCUACUCUUGUACCAUUUUUAUAUUGUCUUCAACAAGGUAGCUUUUGUCUAUUAGAGUAGAAUAAUUCUACCUUGUCUAUUAGAGUAGAAUAAUUGGUAAUCAUUAUAUGGGCUAUGUUUCCUCUGAUUUUAGGUCUCAACCUCCACUCAAACUAGUUUGUCUUCCAUUCAUUAAUGGGUGCAUACUAAGUAUGUGGACAAAACUUAGCCAAUUCCACAAACUUAACAACAUAUACUCUGCAAUAGACAUGUCUCUUUGUCGUAAGUACACAGCUUCUUUUGUCUUUUGACAAACUUUGGAUAGCUCUUGUUCCAAGGGUUCUUGAGUCUGAAGAUAAUUCUUUGAACUCCUCCACCAAUAUUAUGUCUCACCCUUCAAUAGAAGGGCAAUUAAUGUCACUUUAUGUUCUUCAGUAUAAGGCACUAUUCAAAUGCCUUUUUACUCUCAUUCAGCCAAACUUAGGUUUAAUAUUUGGUGAAAUGAUACUUAGAAUAUACAAGAAAAGAAAGAUUAUCUCAUUUCCCAACCUUUAGCCUAGAGUGUUAGUGAAUGAAUCUGACUCUAAUACCAAAAUGUAGCACCUAAUAUCAAUUAUCUAGAACUUGGCAAUUUGAUUCAUACUCUUUAAGAAUGACAUAGGCAAAUAAUAAUGAAUAAUAAAUUAGAAUUACCAAACUAAAUUGAAAACUACAUUCAUAAUUAUAGUUUAUAACUUGUUUAACAAAUUCCGUAAAAUAUUACACUUGGAAAUGAAUUAUAAGUGUUUGAUUACAUCAUAAAAUAAAACAUCACAUUCAAAUUCCAACAAAAAUGGAACUGAUCAAUUGAUGCUAAACUUGUAUCCCAUGUUGUUCCUAAUACUAAGAAAUAAAAGAAUGAGUGAAAUAUAAAAUUUUAGUGAGCUCUAAAAAUAAAGGGAAAAGAACUUUGAAAAUAUUUCUUUCAUAAAUAUGCGUAAAAACAUGAAAUUCUGAUGCACUUUCAGCUAAAGCUCUCAACUUCAAUUUCUUUUUAUAAACUUAACUAAAAUAAUUCUUUUAUAAUGAUUCUGGAAAAAAAAAUUAUGCAUGACCUCUAAAAUCUUUUCUUUGAAAACAAAGAAAAAUCGUCCAAUUAUCUCAACGUGGGCCACCAAGAUAAUUGAGCCAUGUAUGAUCCGCUUAAUGAGAAUGUACUUAACUUGAGAAGUUUUAUAUGCAAUGUAUUUAUCAUGUCAUGUAUGCAAUGCAUCCUUCAUUCACAACAAGUAUAACGUCUUAGCAUUAUAUUAUACCAUUGAUAAUUAAUACAAAAUUCCCUAAUUUGAAAUUGGAAGCAGAGGCAACUUAGCCAGAGGUAGAACUCCAAACCAAAGGCAACACAUUGUGGAGUAAACAAAUCAGAGGAAACAUGACUAGAGGCAAGCUCUGACUAGAGGCAACAUGGUUAAAGGAUACAUGGACUAGAGACAACGUGGUUAGAGGAUGCAUGUCCAUAGGAAGAAUCAAAGGAUACACGUCCAAUGGAAGAAUAAGAGAAUAUGUGUCUCAAGGAGGAAUCAGAGGAUUCCCUUCCCGUGGAAGAACCAGCGGAUACACAUUCAGAGGAUACGCACCCAAGGGAAAAAUCUAAGGAUAUGUGUCCAGUGGAAGAAUCAGAGGAUCUGUGUCUCGAGGAGGAAUCAAAGGAUACGCGUCCCGUGGAAGAAUUAUAGGCAAAAAGAGAUACAAUUGUCAAAGGCAAAACAUUUAGAAUUUUUUUAUUGACAAAUCAGAGACAUAAAGAUAGAGAAAUCAUCAGAGGCAACGUAAGAUAAAUUUAUCGGGGGGUAAAAAUAAGGAAAUUGUACCGUAAGCAAAUGUCAGAGUUAUAAAAUAACACCCUGAAGCAAAGUACAGAGGUAAGGGAAAAAAACGUCCAAGGUGAGUGCAUUUACAAUAGUGGGAUUUGCACUUCAAAUUAUUGUUCCUUUCCCAAAUUUUGCAAUUUUCUAAUUUACUAACACAACAAUCAAGAAACAAGCAACCAAACGACAUGCAUGGCAGAUUUAAAAUCAUUUGGGUGCAGAUUCAUAACACCUAUAUGAUAAAGAUUCCAUUUUUCUCACACAUCUAAGUUCUUCUAACCCGUAAAAUCUCCAAAAUAGUUUCUGACAUCUAAGUAAAUGAUUUUAGUAAGAGGACUGUUACUAAAAAUUGUUCAUACUAUUAUUUUCUAUUAAGAAUUGUUCAUACUAUUAUUUUCUAUUUUACCUUUUAUCCUAAUUUAAUCUUAUUAAAAACACAACAUUAACAAUUACUAAAAGUAUAAAAAAUUUAAUUAAUACUUAAAUCAUAUAAAUAUUUUUAAAACAAUGAGAGGACUGUUACACGAUUAAUAACUAAAAAUGAAAUAUUAUAUAAAAUCUAUUAUACUAAUUAUAUAAAUAAAGUUUCUUUUAAAGUGUCUGAAAAAAAAAUUAUAAUUGUUUUUAAUAAUUUUACUGAAAUACUAUUAUAAAUCUUAAAAAAUAUCAGAAUAAAGUUUAUUUUUUUGACGUGUACUUUACCAUUAAGUUUUGGAAGGUGCACGUCGUGGUUGGAGUGAUUGAAACAUUGCCCAACAAACUCGUACCUAGAUUGUGAGACAACAUGACGAUGACAACCGGUGGAGUAUCCCUCCUUCAAGGAUUAACGUGGACAACUCCUUCCCCCAACCAACAGAAGGUGCACGUGGGGUUAAAAUUACAAAAAUAACCUUACGAAGGCAAAAUUAAACAAGUAUUUUGUUAUAAAUAUAUUAUUACAAUAUCAUCGAAUAAAUUUAAACAAAAUCUAUAACAAUAUUUUUGAAUUUUGUGCAUAACAAUUGUAUUACAUACAUACACAUAAAGUAAGAAUAUAUUAAUAUUGAUUUUUUAUUAAAAAAAUAUUAUAAUGAAAAUAUUAAAAACAAUUCAAAUUAAAACAAGAUAAAACAAUUAUUUUGUAAAGAUAAAAAAAAGUUAACUAAAUUUAUUAAAAUUAAUUUUUAUUAAUGUAUUCAACAAAUAUUAUAAGUAUAUUUUUUAUAAAUCUUUUAUAUUACAAAAAUAUAUUAACUUAAAUUAUUAGUUUAUGAUAGAAACAAAUCCGUAUAAUGCAUGAGCAUUAUCCUCCUUAGUCUUAAAUAUAUUAUACAUACAACGUGAGAACAAUACACUAUAUAUUAUAAGAAUUGUAAUAUACACUAGAAUACCAUUUAUAUAUAUCGUUAAUUAUUUUUCCUUGGCAAAAUUUUGAGGGACACAUCCGUAAAAAGAUUAUGAAAAACAAUAAAGAAUUAUAAAAAUAAUACUUUUCUGCACUGUCCAUAUUGCAAACACACUUCUACAAGCAACUUUAAAAUCACAAAUAUGAACUUCUUUUUUGUAUGGAUAAAACGGCUUUCCUCUACUAAUUAAUCUCACAUACCAAUUACACACCUUUUUCUUUUCUCUCUCACUCUCAUUUCCCCGCCAUCUUCAUUCUCUUUCAUCAUUUUUCAUUUCUUUUUCUUUAUAUCCCUCCUCAUUUUUAACCAUUUCUUUUCUAUAUAGCCUUUUAAAACAAACUUUUAUUUUUUUUCACCAUUUCAAAGUUGCCUCCUUUUUCCCACAUCAACAAUCAUAAGCUUGCUUUUGAUAUACUUUUGUUAAAAUAUACCAUUUUUAUAACCAUUAUUUCUACAAUCAUUUUAAAGUUGCCUCCUUAUAUUUCAGCCACCAUUUUGUAAGAGAGUUUGUAUUUUUUUUCCUACCAUUUCCAUUAUGUCAUGCUACUUGAUAAAGCUCUCAUUUAAAAAAUUAUUAUUUUAAUGAGAGAUUCCUCUUAAAAAAUGUUCCUGCUCUAGAUAUCAAGACCGUCAUCUUAAACUUGAUGUAAUCUAUGACUCAUUCCAUUUUUAGUUUUCAAGGUUUAAAUUUUUUUUCUUAUUUUUUUUGUUUGUUAUCUAAUGUAUUUCUUUUUCGCUUAUUUAUUUGUUAUUUUUUAAGUUUUCAUAAGAAUAAGAGAAAUGGCUUGAAGAUUGAAAGAAUAGAGAGCUAGUAGAAUAAAAGUUAUUUUAUGGGAAAAAUUGCAGGGAAAGAUAUGUAAUGUAAAAUGUUGAAUAUAAGUAAGAAAUAUAAGACAUUAACCUGACAUUUCCUUUUAAUUGAUGCAUAAAGAAAAUGGGGAAAACAAGUAUUUGUUACCAAUACAUAAAAAGUAUGGAGCAAAUGUUUGUUUUUGAUAAGAUAUUAGAAAACACAACAAAUAUUUAUUGGUGACAUAUAUAUAACAUCACAUGAUAAAUAUUUAGCAUUGAUAUAUAAAAAUAUGAACAAAUAUUUAUUACUGAAAAAUAUUAAAAACAUAUGAUAAAAAUGUAUAACCGUCGCAUAAAAACCCACGAGACAAACAUUUGUUACUAAUAAAUAUAAAAAAAGUAUAGAAUAAAUAUUUUUUACUAAUACAUAUAAUAAAACAUAGGUUAAAUAUUUAUCAUUGAUAAAUAUAAAAAAUUGCACAAAAAAUAUUUAUUACUAACACAUACAAAAACACAAGAUAAAUAUUUAUCAUCGAUAAAUAUUAAAAAAUAUAGGAUAGAUUAUUAUCACUAAUGCAAAAACAACACGGAGAAAAUAUUUAUGAGUGUUAAAUAUAAAAGAUCACGUGACAAAUGUUUGCCACUUAUACAUAAAAAACACAAAAAAAAUAUUUGUAAUUAAUUAAUAUAAAAAAGUAGAAUAAAAAUUUACAAUUAAUGUAUAAAAAAUCACGAGACAAAUAUUUUUCGGUGAUAAAAUAAAAAAUUACGCGAUCAAAAUUUAGCAUUGGUACAUAAAAAAAACACAAGAUAAUUAAUUAUUAGUGAUAAAUAUAAAAAAUAAUGAGACAAAUAUUUAUCACUGAUACAUAAAAACACAUGAGACUAAUAUAUGUCAUUGAUAAAUAUAAGAAAAUGUAAUAAAUGCAUAAUAAAACACAAUACAAAUAUUUAUCAGUGAUAAAUAUAAAAAAUCAAAGGAAAAAUAUUUGUUGUUGAUAUAUAAAAAAACAUGAACAAACAUUUUUUAUUAAUAAAUAUAAAAAAUACUGGAUAAAAAUUUAUAAAUGAUGCAAAAAAGUCAUGGGACAAAUAUUUACCAGUGAUAAAUAUAAAAAAUCAUGAAAUAAAUAUUUUUCACUAAUUAAUAUAUAACAAUAUACGAGACAAAUAUUAUCAGUGAUUAUUAUAAAAAAAUUAAGGAUAAAUAUUUACUAUUGAUACAUAAAAAAAUAUGGGUAAAAUGUUUAUCAAUGACAAAUAUAAAAUAAUUACAAGACAAAUAUUUACUGCAUAAAAAAUAUAAAACAAAUAUUUGGUAUUGAUAAAUAUUAAAAAAAUAUGAGACAAAUAUUUUUAUUGAUAAAUAAUAAAAACGAGAUAAAUCAUUGUUAUUAAUAAAUAUUAGAAAGAAAAAAAAUUAUUUUCAACUGAUACAUGAAGAAAAAGAAAAGAACAAAAUUUGUCAUUACUAAAUAUAUGAGAUUAUAUAAAUAUUAAUUACAAUAUUUAUUGUACUAUUGAUCAAAUAUAUUUUACUUAAAAAUGUACAAAAAUAAAAUACUAUAAACUUAUUAUCAAUUUCAGUUCUAUUUGUUCAUUAUUAAUUAUAAUAAAUUAAAUUCAUUAUCUAUGGUAUAAGUAAGAGAUACAUUUUUUCGUUGGUUUUCUUUAAUUAUAACUUCAAAUAAAAUUAUAGAAACGACACAGUACUUGUGCGGAAUCACAAAUAUCUUUCUAGUUAUGUUUAAAAUCGUGGUACAAAUAAUUUAAAAUUAAAUAAUAAACAAUUUUUAAUCUUCAUAAAAUAUUGAAAUAUCAUUUUUAGUCAAUGUAACAAAAUCAAUUUUUUAGUUUUUAAAAAAUAUUUUACAAGUUAUUGUAUAUUUUAGUCGUGUGACAUCAUAACCCCAAAAUAACAUUUAUAAUAAUUAAUAUUAGAUCUUUUGAACAAAUUUCACAAGGGAUAUAGAAAUUCUAUUUCCAAAAAAAUAAAAACUUUUAUAAUUAAUUUAGCAUAUUAAGUUUAUCAAAAAAUCAAAAGGAACGCUUCUUUUUUCCUCUAGGACAAUCUCCGGAGACUUGUUUAACUAGAAAUUUUUAAUUUAAUGAAAAAGCUUACUAGUAUUUAUAAAGUUUUGAUGCAAAAAGUCAUUUAUAAUUAAAUAAGUAAAAGUAAAAUACAAAUUACAUAUUUUAUUCUUGAUAUCACUUAUCAAAGUGAGGUUUCUCCAUAAAUUGAACUUCAAGAUUAACAUGUAAUAACUGUAAUUUCGUAAACGCAAGAUCAAUCCAUUCAAACACAAACAACGAAUGAGGUGAAUUUCGAAAUCAUAUUGAUAGUAUAAUAUAAGUAAGAAGAACACGCAAUUAAUCAUAAAUAAACUAUAUCAUUACACAAACAUUCUUUAAGAAAAACGAAUAUCAAAUCAAUACAUUUCACUAUAAUAUCAAAUCAUCUAAGAGAAAUUAUUAUUGCACACAAUACAUAUUAAUAACAACAAAACAAUCAUAAGAAAAUGUAAUGUUAUACAUGGACUUAUACUCUACUUCACAAUCAUUCUAACUCUCAAGUACUUAGUUAGGAGUUUUGAUACUAUGCCACCACAUGAGUGGACGUACAAUUCAAAUUGCUCAUAUCCUUGUAGAUCCCCGAACUCAACCUCCGAGACAUAUAUGUGAUAGUUGACGUAUGUGUGUUGCAUGGUAGCUCCUAAUUUUACAUUAAGGCGUAUGUGUGUUGCAUGGUAGCUCCUAAUUUUACAUUAAGGCUCAACGGUAGACGACCACAACCAGACUCAUUCAAUUGUACUUUCUUUAAAUCACUAGGCUUAUCAGGUUUUAUAUAUAUAAUGGCAAACUAAUCUCCAUUUCAAAAUUUACAUCAACUUCAAAUAAUCCAAACAUCUAUUUUCUCUCAUUGUUAAUCUAGACUACUCCAUUAAGAACAUCAUUUUAGCACAAGUUAGAAUCAUCAAUGUUUCAUCAAUUAUGGGUACAACAAUAUUCUCAUUACAAAUUUAUAACAUCAUUAUCAUUAAUCAUACAUCAUCAGGAUUAUCAUAUAAAAUCAUCACAAAUUUAUAACACCACUAUCGUCAAUCAAACAUCAUCAUUAUCAUUGACAUCACAUAAAUUCGUCGUCUAAUCAAACAUAUGCAGAUAAUUUCAUUAUACAUCCAACAUCAUAAUAAUAUUAAAUACCACAUAAUUAUCAAAAAUUAAAUCAAUCAACAUCUUAUAAACAUUAUAUUUUACAAUUUUAAUCUCACAAUCCUUGUAUUUUCAUAUUAAUUAAUUUAUUACAGCGCUACAGAUGAAUAGUCGGAAAAUACAGUUAAAAUUUUUUCAUUCAUUAUCGACGCUUUCGCACGCGGUUACAAGUUGAAAAUAUUUAUUUUUUUCGAUGUUGUCUUUAAGUCACACGAAUACAUAGUUUAUGAUAAACGGUGAAAUAAAUUUCAUUAACUUAUACUAAAUCAAAAUGUAAUACAUGAAUAAUAUAGUAAUAUAGUAACCAUUGUAGUCUUAACGAUCUGAUUGUAAUGUGUUUCUUAUUUAAUUACUGGAGAUCGACUCUUUAUUAUUAUUAUUAUUAUUAAUAAUAAUAAUAGAUUUGAAUAUUUCAUAUACACGUUCAAGUAGUAGUUUUUUUGUUUAUUUUAUAUUUAAUAUUACUAUUUCUAUUUACAUCUUAGUAAAACAAAAUUAAUAAUUAUUUAAUUUUAUUUUUUUAAUACUAUUACAAACAUUAUUUAAUUUUCAAAUCAUUACUAAUAUAUUAUAAUUAGAGUCAUUAAAAUAAUUCUCAUUAUUAAACUUUUAUAUUCAAAAUCAUCAUUAUAAUUAUACUUAAUUUUCAAAAUAUUCAUAUUAAAAUAGUUAUAAUUUUAAAGAAUAGUUAAAAUUAUAAAAUAAAUAUAAGAUCAACAUUUUGUAUUAAUUAUUAAAUUAUAAUAUAUAUAUAUAUAUAUAUAUAUAUAUAUAUAAUCACAAUGAGUAUAUUAAGAAUAAAGAAAUCAAAUAUAACAAUAUUAAUAUCUCAAGAUAACUAUUUAUAAAUAAUUAAAAUACAAAUAUAAGUAUGAUUGACAUCACGUUAAAAUAUAACAUCAAUUACACAAACCACGUAUCACCUAAUGUUAUUUUUUAAAAAAAUGUAUAAUAAAAUAGUAUUAUUUUUAAAUAAAAUAUAUAAAAUAAUAAAAUAAAAUAUUUAUUAUUUAUAUCAUUAGUCAAAAAAAUGUAAAAGUUACAAUGUUAAAAAAAAAUAUAUAAAUAAAAUUAAUCAUAAAAAUAAUUAAUAAAUAUUUUAAAAUAAUUUUAACAUUAAAUUAAUUUUCUAAAAUUCUAUUUAAAUAAAAUAUUUUAUCAUAAAAAUUACGAUGUUACACGAUGUAGCACCGUUCACGACCCGCGCACGAUCUUGCAUAGAAAUUACAGUGUGACGAAUAAGAAAAAAAAAAUACAAGAGAAUAAAAAAAAAAUUAAAUACAAGAAAAAAAAUUAAUAUUAAACUUAUUUCUAAUUUAAAUUUCAAUCAUUUAUUAAUUGAAUUUAUAAUUUAUCAAAAAAAUAAAUGAAUACAGUAAAAUGUUAUGUAAUUAUUUUAUAAAAAUUAAUUAUAUAAUAGAUAAUAGACAGUUGAUACAUAAAUAUAAUGGAGUUUAAAUUUACAACACUUUGUAUUGCCAACAUAUAUAAUAUUCAUUAUCAUAUGAAAUACAUUAAUCUAAUAGUCAUACUUAAUACAUGAAAAAUGAAAGAUAAUCAAUUCCCAUGAUAGAUGUCAAAUUGAAAUAAUUGUAAAAAAAAACACUUAAUUAUAUGUAUGCAGAAUGAAUAAUAUUAAAAUAAUAUAAAAUGUACAUAAUUAAUAUAUCUAAUACUGAAAAUUAAAUUAAAUUAUAUUUUUUAAAUAAAAUUAGUAACACUCAAAUUUCUAAAUUAUUAGUAAAUUUCUAAAUUAUAGAUUAAUUUUAAAACUAAAUUCUCAAUCAAGAUUUAUGAGUAUUCAUGUUUGAUCUUUGAUUUUUUAUAUCUACACCAUUAUAUACAAAAGAAUUCAAAAAUUAAUGUAAAUAUUAUUUAGAAAAAUAAUUAAAAAGAAAUUAAAAUUAAAGCAAUUAAUAUAUAUAUAUAUAUAUAUAUAUAUGUAUAUAUAUAUAUAUAUAUAUAUAUAAGUAGAGCAUUAAAAACAAAAUUUUCAAAAUAAACAACAACAAAUUAAUUGUCAUAUAAAAUAAUUGGAUGUAAAAUCAUUUAAUUAAAUUCUAAUUUUGUAUUUUAUCUGUGUCUUUAAUAUAUAAUCAAUUCAAGAAAGUCUCACAUUGCAAACAUAUGUUAAUCAAUUAAUUUAUUUGUCUCUAAUUUUCUAUUCAUUUGUUUCAUUCUAUUUCUUUUAUAGUAAUUAUGAUUUUAUUUUUUAUUUUAAUUUAAGUGUAUAAAAAUUUUACUCUAUUGAAUAAUAUUUUAGCAAAAGUCUACUAAAAUAAGACAUAUAUAUAUUGACGUAAGUUUUGAACUAGUAAUAUGUUUUAUUAAAUACAUUGACGUAACUUUUUAAAAUAAAACAUGUUUGAUUAAAAUGAGGUUGAAAUGGUUUUAUACCUUAAUUUGAAACUGAUUCCUAUUAAAACUAGCAAGAGGUUUGUUUGUGUAUUCAUACGAAUCCAAUUUCUUAGUUUGAGAUGUGUCCCAUGUAUAAUUUUGUAUUAUUAAGGUAUUAAAAUAGUCAAAGACGUCUCAACCAAUUUAGAGGUCCGGUUUUAAUCUUAAAAUUUAGACAUUUAAUAUCUUGUAAAUAAUAUAAUAACAUCAAAAUUUUGAUUUUUUUUUUUGUUAAAAAAACAUGUGUUGUUUUUGUUCCUAAAAUCCGGUUGGAUUUAUGAUUUUUUUUUGUUUGUUUAUGGCUCUUAAAAUGUAUGGUGAAUUUUUCUUGAGCAUUCUCUCAUGCACUACCCCCAUCUAAACCUAUCACCCCCUAAAUCAACUUGUAUAAUUUUGGCUUUUUUAAACUUCUCAUUUUUUUUAGAAUUUUCAAAACUUUCGAACAAUUCGAAACUUACAAAAUAGAAAAUUUCAGAAUUUUUAAAACUUUCGCACAAUUCAAAACUUUCAAAAUAGAAUUUUUUUGAAACUUUCCAUAUUUAAAAACUUUCGAAAAUUUCUAGAUUAGGAAACUUUCGAAAUAAGAAUUACAUUUUGAAAAUUUAGAAUGUUUCGAAAGUUUCGAAAGUUUUCAAAUCUGGAAUGUUUUCUAUUUCGAAACUUCUGAAAAUUAUGGAAUUGUCUAUUUUGGAAGUUUCGAAUUGUUUGAAAGUUUCGAAAAUUCUAAAAAAAUGAGAAGUUUAAAAGGACAAAAUUGUAUUUUCACGUCGACUAGGAGUGGCAGGUUUAAGUGUGCGGGUGCAUUGUAGAAUCCUCAUCUUUCUCUCUUAGUAUUUUUUUGGGUCUACAGUACUCUUUAAAAAAAAAAAUUAUUGGACUAUGUGUUAGCCUUGAUAAUUGUUUUGCUUUUAAUGUAGGCAAUAUUAAACAGAAACUAAUUUUAGAUAAUAUUUUUCCCAUGUAUGAAUUUAAUAAUAAAUUAUAAUUAAUAUAUUUUGAUUAUUUUCAUUUAUAUUUAUAAGAUGUAAAAAAAAUAUCAAAUAUAUGUCAUUUAUUACGUGUUUUUAUUAUAUUUAUUAUUUAUAAAUAUUUGUAAUAUAUAUAUUUUAUGAAUCAACGAUAAGUAUUUGUCUCAUAUAUUUUUUUAAAAUUGAUCAAUGAUAAAAAUAUGUCUUGCGUUUUUUUUUUUUUUUUUUUUAGUGAGAUAUAUUUAUCUCUAUCAAUGAUAAAUAAUUAUUUUAUGUGUGUUUAAUAUUUAUCAGUCACAAAUAUUUGUCCAUAUUUUGUUUAUGUUUUAUCGGUGAUAAAUAUUUUCUCAAUGUACUUUUUUACAUUUAGUAGUAAGAAAUAUUUGUCCCGUAUUUUUUUUAUGUAGCAAUGUCAAAUUUUUUUUUGGUGCUUUUUAUAUUUAUCAGUGACAAAUGUGUCGCAUAAUGAUUAUAUGUAUCAAUAACAUAUAUUUGUUUUAAUAAAAAAAACAUAUAUUUUUCUCUUGUUUUUUACAUUUACGAGUGAUAAAAAUAUUUAUCCCAUAUAUUAUAAUUAUUUGCAUUUUAAUUUAGAAAAUAUAAAAAUUAUUAAAUUUAACUAAUUGAUUAGUGAUAAAUAUUUAACUCCUCUAGUGACUCAUUUUUUAGAAAAACAAACAUUUGAUUGUAAAAAAAAGAUAUAGUUAUUGUAUAUUAAUUGUUGUCAUUUUUAUGUUUAUAAUAUUAAAAUAAACUAUUAUAACAAAUUAUGUAAUUAAAAAAAAAUUAAAAAAAAUUUAAUCAGAUGUAUGAUUUUUAUUAUAAAUUAUAAUUAAAAAAUAUACAAAAAUACUAAAUUUAAAUUUAAAUGCUCCAACGACUUCUAUAGUUAUCCAUUAGUUUAAAAAAAUAACAAAAGGGUGGCACUUGCUGAAUUUUAUACUUUAGACUUUGUUGGGAUAUUUUAAAACUAAUGGGAACAAAAGAAAAGAGAAUAAAAUGACGAGAAAUUGUUUUGAUAUUUUAUGAUAAAAUGAAACAAAAUUAUCAUUUCAUUAUUUCGAAAAUGGACUAAAUAGGAGUUAUAACUUUUUUUAUUCCAUUUUUACCUUUAUUCAAAAAACACUAUUAUGAUUUCUUUGAUAUAAUAACUAAAAUCAAACCAACCACUUGUGUAUGGUGCAUGAGUCUCUUAUAUCUCAAACCAACCAUAUUUUUUAGUGGGUUUUUAGUUUGAAAAUAAUUUUAUUAUAUUAAAUAUUUUUUGUUCAUAUUAAAUUAAAUUACUUGCGCUACAUCAUUAAAUAAAUGAGUUUUUACAUAUUAAAACUCAUUUCAGAAGUAAUUUUAGUAUAUUUAUAAAAAUAAAAUAAUUGUCAAAUUUGUUUCCACUCAAGCUAGCUAUCAUAAAAAAGGAAAUUAUUCAAACAAGUCUAUAAUAACUGUUAUUUGCACUUUUAGGACAGAGACUAUACAAUAAACAAGAACAAAAUAGAAAAGUGUUUUUUUCAAUAGUGCAACGAUUAUACACAAUGAUCUUAAGUUGUUGGGUUAAAAAGGAAAAAAAAAAAAAAAAGGAAAUUCCAGCAAACCAAAAAUUGAAAAAAGAAGAAGAAAAAUUAGCAAUUCAUAUUUUUAUGUUUGUCAUGAGAAUCAAAGACCAUAAAAAAAAAUAAAGUAGGAGGAAAAAAGUAGUAAUUUAUGUGAGGAGGGAUACUUUGAUUUUUAAUAAUUUAAGAAGUUAGAUUUCAUCUCAUAUACUCCAAAUUAGAGAGGAAGAGAAAUAAAGAAAGUUGAUUGAAUGAAAUUAAUUCCAUCAUGUACCAUUCCAUUCCACUCUAUUCAAUCAAUCUAAACAAAUCCUUAGAGUUUUUAGAAAUUGUGACUUCAGGUAAGUGCUUAUUUCAUAUUGGACUAGUAAACUAGGUUACAUAACCCAACCCAUCAUGCUUUUAGCUAAAAAUAUGUGACUUUGGCUCAUACGAUGGGUUAUCUAUAAAAAUAUUGCCAAGUCCCCUGAGUUUAUAAUUAUUAAAAAAUCAUGUUUUACUUAUAAAGACACAUAUUUUGGCUUUUUAAAUAUUUUGCCAUGAAUAUGCAUAUUAUUUAUUGUAUAAUAUAUUCUAUUUAAAAAUAUGAGGCUUAAUUGCACUUUUGGUCCCCCUAUUAUAGGUGAAAAUUGAAAGUAGUCCUCCCAUUUUGUUUCUCCCCAGUUUUAGUCCCCCAAACAGAAUUUGAGUCCAAAUCAUGAUGAGUUGUCAUUUUUUUAAUGACGUGUCAAUAAAAAGCUGACGUGGCAGACGCAUAAAUGGAAUAAACUUAUUAUUAUAUUAUUUCUGAUUAAAAAAUAUAAUUUAUAUUUUUAAAAAUCAUUAUUAUAAUUGUUAAAAAUCAUUAUUACAAAUAAAAUUUAUUUGUUAAAAUUAAAUUAAAAGCAAAAACACCUAAAAUCAAAAAUCCUAAACAAAUCAAAAUCAAAAGGAUUCACUCAUGAACCCUAAAAUCAUUGUUCUUCAAUUAAAGUAAGCAAAAGAAAAGUGAAAUCAAUUCUGAUUAUCAUUUCUCUUCCCUGAUCCAUCUCCUUCUCUAUCUUCAAGCAACCUUCCAGUUUUUUCAUCAGGUUGUGAAACCUUCUUCUGUGCCUCUUUAGCCUUAAGUGCCUGCAACUUUGAAUGAUUAUAAUAAGCCACACCCAAGAAAGCAAGUCCAUACCCAAACAAAUUAAUGGGUGUAACAGUAUCCUUAAUAACAGACCAAGAAAACGCAAUCAAAAGCCAAUCUUUAACAACACCAGCAACAUUCAUUGUCAAAGCUGAAGUUUUGCCAACAAGAAGAAAAACAGCAAGAUUCAAAGCAAAUGCACAGAAUGAAUUAGUCCCAAAAAUAACAAAAUCAAAUUGAAAAGUGGAAGUCUGUUUCAAAAUUGGAUACUCGACAAGGAUCCAAGGAAUAGACAAGAAAACGAAACAACAAGGAGCAACGUAGUACAAAGAUGUAAUAGGAUUCAAUGAAAUCCCUUUGGAUGUAAGCAAGAUUUGAAUCAUAACCAAUUUGGUGGCUUCAAAAGCAACAACACCUAAUUGAAGAAUAACACCCCAUGUAUCAAACCUAGCUUCACCAUAUGCGGCAACACCAACGCCAAGAGAAAUGGAUAACAUGUUAAACAUGGUGUCGUUUUUGUAAGAUUCUUUUUUCAAAAGAACGCCGAUGGAGUAAACGACAACAGGCAUAAGAGCUUUAAGCAUUUGAAUAAAGGAGACUGAAUAAUUUUAGGGUUCAUGAGUGAAUCCUUUUGAUUUUGAUUUGUUUAGGAUUUUUGAUUUUAGGUGUUUUUUCUUUUAAUUUAAUUUUAACAAAUAAAUUUGAUUUGUAAUAAUGAUUUUUAACAAUUAUAAUAAUGAUUUUUAAAAAUAUAAAUUAUAUUUUUUAAUCAGAAAUAAUAUAAUAAUAAGUUUAUUCCACGUAUGCGUCUGCCACGUCAGCUUUUUAUUGACACGUCAUUAAAAAAAAUGACAACUCAUCAUGAUUUGGACUCAAAUUCUGUUUGGGGGACUAAAACUGGGGAGAAACAAAAUGGAGGGACUACUUUCAAUUUUCACCUAUAAUAGGGGGACCAAAAGUGCAAUUAAGCCAAAAUAUGAUUUUCUCGUCACCGAUUCAACUGCGGUUCAAUUUUGGUUUUACAUUGAACUUUAUAUCGGUGCCUCUUCUAGUUCAAUGAUUGGACAGAUUUUUAAAACAUUGAUAAAAACAUCAAUUUAAUCUCACAUUUACUAUUCACAUCCAAAGCACAUAAAAGACCAUUUUACUCCUUAUUACUAGAUAGUCAAAAUUUUGAAAAACUAAAAUAAUUUAAAAAAUAUGAAUGAAUGUGAAACUUUUAAAAUUCAACUUUUCUAAAAGUUAAAAAAAAAAAUCGAACUUUGAAUAAAUAUUAAACUUCUGAAAUAUAAUUUUUUCAAAAGAUAAAAUAAUUUCGAAACUUUGAAUGAAUGUAAAACUUUCGAAAUGUAAAUUUUUUAAAAGUUUAAAAAACUAUCAACAUAUGAAACUUCGUAAAUGCAAUUUUUCCAAAAGUUAAAAGAAAUUCAAAAUUUUAAAUAAAUGUGAAACUUCUGAAAUGCAAUUCUUCAAAAUUAAUAAAAUGUUGAAAAUUUGGAUGAAUGUGAAUCUUCAAAAAUGCAAUUUUUUCAAAAAUUUUAAAUAAGUUUAAAAAAUUCAGAUGAAUGUGAAACUUUCAAAAUAUAAUUUUUCUAUAAUAUUUUACUAAUAGUUCAAAAAUUUAGAUGAACACAAAACAUUCGAAAUGCAAUGUUGAUUAUCAAGUAAUAGGGUGAAGAUGGUAAACAAAAUGUAAAAUAGUAUUUUCAUGUAUUUUAAAGAGAUGAGAGGUAAAAGUUAGAGAGUAAAUUGUAGAUUUCUUCCGUUGUUAUUCUCUUGUCAUUUUUAUUUUUUAUUUAAUUAAAAUAAAAUUUUAAUUUCAAUUAUUGAAACAAUAAAUUUAAUUACUGAGAUCAAAAUUGAAUAGACACGUAUCGAAACUGUUAGUUUAGUCAACUUUAAUAUAUACUACAAUAAUGCCUAUAUUGAUAAAUUAAAAAAAACUAUUAGUCAAAAUGUUAAUAGUAGGCCAUACUGUCCGAUACGGGCGUAUGAACUAACCUACUCAAGGUCUAGUUUGUUAAUAAAAAGAUCAAACUUUUUAAAAAUUUAUUUAUCUAAAUAUGUUAGAUUUAAACUUUUUAAAAAGCCUAUUAAAUUUAACAUACCAAUCUAUUUAUAUAUAUUAUAAAAAUUAUUUUUUUAUUCUUAUAGACUAUUGAAAACUAACAAAUUCUAAAUAUCUACUGCCGCUUAGAGGUUUAUUUUUUAAUAACACAAAUUUGAUUUUUUUUUUUAUAUUAUCAAAAUACUCGCUUUUAAAAACUAUAUACCAAAUUAUCCUUUUUUUUUUAUAUAUAUAAUUAAUAUGUAGAUUGAUUAGAGUUUCCUGUAACAUUUAGAUAAUAUUUUCGAGUAUGACCAAUUAGCCGACAUAAUCCAUAUUUUUUUGACAAUAUUUCUCUAACAUCCAUUUUAGUUCUAUAAUGAGUACUAUUUGGACAAUAUUUUUUAAAUUUUCCGCAUUUCAAAAAACUGUGUUACAUUGUUUAACCUUCACAUGUGGGCCAAUAUCCUUCAUUGAGUAUAGAUGAAAACUCUUCUUUGUAGAUGUUGAAUACAUUAACAACCUAAUACAUGUCAGACAAAUGCACUAAAUAGUUUUGACGAGCCUAAGAACAUGUUGCUAUAACAUGUGAAUAAGGCACGCGUAUUGCCUUAAAUUUUCUACAAUCACACCAUUUUAUUUGAAGGUUGACAUCGAAAUAACCAAUUGGUUGCACCUCUCUUGAGUUUACUGUUUCAUUCACCAUGAAAGAAUAACAAUUUCGGUCGAAUCGCAUGACCUGGUAAGUAUUAGACUUACCAACUUCAUAUUAAUAUUGUCCUUGCAAUCUUGUGUAUAGUCGCCUUAAGCUAAUGAUACUCGACCAAAGUAGUGAUUGGGAGAUUGUGUGUACUCUUGGCAGCGUUUAUUAACUCGACAAUAUUUGUUGUCAUGUGUCCCCAUCGUCGACCUUGAGAAUACACUAUAGUCCAUUGUUUUGGGGGAAUAUAAUCAACCCAUCUUAAAGCAUCUGAAUUUACCAUCCUAAUUUCAUUGAUGUAAUAUUUGAAUGAUGGCUCACAUAAUGCAUAUUCUGUUAUAAAUGAGAUAAAAAUUGUCAAGUAUCAUAAAGUAAAAAAUGGAAAAUAUACUAAGAAGAAUUAGAUCAUUACCCAUACAAAUAACUUUUUAUUUUGAAGUUCCUUGUCCUUGAACCAUUUCAUGAAAUUUUGUGCAAUGUGUCGGAUGCAGUACACAUUUGUCGACAGAGGAUCAUGUCAACCAUGAUUUGGAUUGUUAUAAGCACUUUUAAAAGAUUUGUGCCUGUUUGAAAUCAAGCAAAUGCUGACUUAAGGUGUGACGUACCUUCUCAAAUUUUUCAAAAAAAGCUCCAAGCAUCCCCGAUUAACCUUCCACAAGUGCAUAAGCAAUGAGAAUUAUAUUUUUAUUCUCAUUGUCUGCAAUGGCUAGCAACAGAGCCCCCUUGUACUUGUCGUACAAUCAAGUUCCAUCAACUGAGAUAAGUGGUUUAUAAAAUUUGAACUCAUAGAUGUAUUGAGGGAAAACCCAAAAUAGUUGUUUGAAUUUUUUUGAACCAUGUAACAUAGUAUUAUCAGAAUAUGCAGGUGAUACUUCCAUUUCCACAAUAGUUCCUAAAAGAAAUUUUUACAUAGCCAACAACUAUCUUGGAAGGUCAUUGUAAGACUUCUCUUAGUCCCUAUAAAUCGUUUCGAUAGAUUUGUUCUUUUCCAUCCAUGUAUUUCUAUAGGUGAUUGUGUAGUUGUAUCGUUCCUAAAUAUGUGCAAUGAUCACUUUCACUUUAAUUGGUGGGUCAACUUUCAAAAGCGACUUUAUGUUUUCUCAUACUAUAUUAGAGUCAAGCUUGAGAUGAUCCUCGUCGAAGUAUGUUUCUUCUUCACUCUCCACAUCACCUAAUGGAUUAUACGGUUCAGGUUGAGAUGGUUCAUGUUUAGACGUUUCGACUUGAUCAAAGUAUGGUUAUGGUUGAUAUGGUCCAGGUACAUAGGAUUUGUAGUUUUGAAAAGAAUUAGUGUGUUGUGUUUAAAAAUUGUAUUCAGGAUGAGAUAUGGUUGAGGAUGAUGGUUGACCAACAUCAAAUAAUGGACGACGACAAUCCUCAAACGUGAAAUAUAACUCGAUAGAACCGAGUUGCGGCCACUAUUUUUAUGAAUAUCAAACAUGAGUUCAACAUCUUCGCUGUCUUCAAUAUUUAACAAUUCAUAAUGAACUAGACCUUGGCCAAAGGAGACAAGGUGUCGAAAAAUUAUAUUAGAUACCCUCUAAUUAAUUUCUAACUUCAACUUUUCUUCAAAUUUUUUCUUUAAGUAAGGUAACAUCCAAAAUGAAUUCGAAUAUAUAUUUUUUUCCUCACUUUUAAAAUAUUUACCAAUAUCUUGUCUUUCACAUAUUUUGCCAUUGUAGUAAAUAAGGAAAAAUACAUUUUUUUGGUGCCAUUGAUAUGAUUUAAAAUAUUUGAAUAAAGUGUAAAGAAAAUAAUAUAAGAUAGUUAUGUAUUAAUAAGAUUAGAAAAUCAUUUAUUCUAUCAAUGUAUUAAUAGUUCUAUUCAUGCACACACAACAAUAGUUCUACGCAUGCAAACACACAACAUAUUCUUUUUCUGCUAAGUUCUAACAAAUCUCCUUUCCAAAAGACGAUUUGGUCUUGCCAUCACAAUAUAUUCUCUGCACACCACACCAUUGGGAACUCACAUUGUUAUAAUGUUUGUAUUCAAUACAAAUAUUUGUUUAUUUUCAAACAAAUAUUUUCAAUGUAUUUGAAACUCUAUAAAUAGACUAAGUUUAUGAUCAUUCUCCACACAACAAAUUUUCACUUUUUCACUCUUCAAAUAUAUAUAUUUCUUAUUAGCUCUCACUCACACUUUUAUUGUCAUCUAAAUGGCUUUGUUGUGGAAUGAUGGUAAUCACGUAUCAGCACUACAAUACAUUCAAAAUUUUGUAAGUUAUACAAUAUUUUAUGUUAUAUUUUUAAUCUUUUCUUAUAUAUAUUAUACUAUGUUUCAUUCUAAAAUAUAGUUCCAUUCUAAUCGUUGCAAAAUAGGAUUCAUCUCAUUCUAAUCUCUUUAAAUACAUUUUUAAUCUUUGCUUAUAUAUUUUACAGGAUUCAUCUCAAAAUUUAAGAUCAUUUAGCCAUAAACACAUUGCACCAAAUUCUUUAAUAAUUCUAUUGUUGAAUCGAGUCGGGUUUGGUAACAUAUUACAAAUAGAAAGCUACAAAAUAGACAUUUCACUUAUUACUGUUUUGGUUGAAAAUGGAGACCUGGAACCCACAUGCUUCAUCUUUCAAUGUAUGAAUGUACCAUAACAAUGGAAGAUGUUGCACCACUACUUGGUUUACAUGUUCGAGGUAAAGCAGUUACUGGAUCAACUAUGGUAUCAUGGACAAAUGAUUUUUUAGGAGUCAUGCCACCUAAAUCUCAAAGAAGGGGAAAUUUUAUAAAAUUAAAAUGGUUGAGAGAAACAUUUUCAACGUUAACUCCAGAUUUGUCAGACGAAUAAAUAAUUAUAAAUUAUAGAGCGUAAAUUCUAGGAUUGAUCAGCGGCAUAUUGAUUCCUGACAAAUCCCAUAAUAGGGUACACAUUAUGUGGUUGCACUUGUUGAGAGAUUUGCGAGAGACGGGAGACUACAAUUGGAGUUUAGCAUGCUUGACAACAAUUUAUAGAGAAUUGUAUCACGCAUCUGAACUUAGUGUUAUGUCGAUUGGUGGAUGUACAUAUCUACUUCAAACUUAGGCAUUGUACCAUAUGCCAUUUAUUGCACCGAUAAGUAAUCUUGAGUCUCGUUUUUCGUUCGCAAAAAGGUAAUAGGUAAAUAAGGUAUUUAUAAAAUUGUUAAUUAAUUCACUAGCGUUCAAAUUUAUUUUCGUAGAUAUAAUAGAAGGGUAUGAAAUUUGGCGAUACACCUCACUAUCAUACCGCUGGAUAUCGAUUAAAAAUUGAUCAUACGGACGAUAAUGAUGCAAUAUAUUCAAACAUUAAUAUAUUUUUAUUUUUUUGUUUCUUCUUAUACAUACAUUAAUAACAAACCUCUUAUAUAUCAGUUUCUUUGAAGGUGGGAUGCAUCUACAUGUUUGGUUUGUUUCUACAUAAUAGAAAUACAUCAAACAGAUAGAGUGAAACUACAAUUUGGACUACCGCAAGAAAUACUACAACUACCGAGGAACAUGAAAAAAUAUCAUAAGGUAGAUUUGUAUAAACAAGUUGGCUAUUAUUCUACAAAAAUAAGAACACAAAUGGAAUAAACGAGAGAAUCAAUCAUUCAUGGUCAACCUUUAAAUGUUGAAUUUAAACCAAGUUAGUAAUACAUGGUUUGGUUUUGAAAAUUUUCCAAACGAUUUGUUUAUGUAGAAAAUCAAUUGAUUGAUUCUCAUGUCAGUUCACCCCAACCUCCACCACAAUCUACCCAACAUUUUUUUCAGGAACUAAUGUCCAACACAACACAACAAAAUUAAUAUUAUAUACCAAUGUCGUCUAACACUCAACCAUCUCCUCAUAUUUAUUUCCACACACCACAUCAAUCCUACAGGUUCACGUCGGAUGAACAAUUUAAUUUUGACAACCAACAACCACAACAAGAAGACAAUGGUUGACUAUCUUUUGCAUCAAGCGAAGAGAAAUUAUUGUAUAACACGUUCAAUACUCGUUAUAAUACAUCUGAGUCUGCUACCCAGUUGCUUAAUAAUAUGUAUCAAUAAAGCUUUCAUAUUCCAAGCUUUGAGAAUGCAUUUACUCCGUUAAAUCAAAUAUUCAACUGGACUCAAUGUGGAAGUAGUUCUUCUGCAACACUUCUCACUCGAUACCCUCACGAACAAGAAGAUGAAGAAGAACAACAACAAACUCGUGAUGUACCAAGACAUCGUCAAAAUCUCGUGCGUGCGAGAAAACAUCGACAAUAAUUUUAUCUUAUUUUUUAUAAAAUUUAUGUUGUAGUUUUUUAUGAAUAAAUUUUAAUGAAUUAUAUUAAUUUAUAUAUAUAUAUAUAUAUUUCCGUUAACUUUAAAUAAAUAAAAAAUGAAUGAAUGAAGAAGCUUUUUCAAACGGUGACUUCUUUUUAAUUUUUUUUAAAAAAUAAAUAAUAAAUAAUUUCCAAAUCGCCAAUUGCAAACUUCAGUUUUCUUUAAUAUUUUCAAAAGGAAUAUUUUGAUAUAUUUUUUUUUUCAAGUUAUUAAAAAAAAAACCUUCGUAGAUCUCUAUUAUACUUAUUUUUCCUAUUUACUAUUAUAUCUUUCAACUAAAUUUUAUACCAUUAUAAUACUAUUAGUUUUUCAAGUUUGCUUUGUCGUUAGCUAUGGAAAUAGUAUGCUAUUCUUUUUUUGGGUAAUGAAAUAUUAUGCCAUUCUACCAGGUUGUUAUUUAGCAUGCUACAUUCUAUUGUCUUGUUGCAUAUGUUCAAUACUGAAAUUUCUAUCUUUCUUUAUUUAGAUAAAUGUUUUUAUUUUUAUUUUUAUGUAUUGAAGUUAUUUUUUUAAUUUAUAAUAAUAAUAAUAAUAAUAAUAAUAAUAAUAAUAAUAAUAAUAAUAAUAAUAAUAAUAGUAAUAGGAAUAUUUUUGAAUUAUUGUAUUGAUGAAUCCUUACUAUAAUAUUUAUCUAAACAGAUAUGUGAUUGUUCUCUAAGGUGACUAAAUAGGCUUUAAAUAAAAUUUCUAUUUUUUUAAUUUAAGUUUUGCUUCAAUUUUUAAGAUCCACAAAAUGUCGUCUCUAUUCGACAACAAUGAAACAAUUACAUCUACCUCAGUAAAUAUUAAUGAAGGGAAUGAGUGUGGACCAAUAGAUUCAAAUCAACCAAAUGGUAACACACGAGGAGGUGAAAAAGACAAAGAACAAGUUGGAGAUGAGGAAGUCAUUAAGAGAGAGAGAGAAACAACUAUACUUCUUUGAUUUCAUUUUGAUGAAGUUGAAAAGGGUCAAGCACUUGCCAUUUGAAAAGGCUUGCUAAUCAUCGCAUGCAAAAGAAGCUUCACCCAUCUACUAAUAAAAAGAAGCAAGGUGUCAUUCCAAUUCAACUUACUAAUUCAGGUAAUUCGUUUUUUAUUCUUUGGAUGAGAUACUUUUCUUGAGGAAGAGGCUUGGAUGUGGGCCUUCCAAUAUUCUAAUUCAGAUUUUCAAACAAUUGCUCAUAAAAUAGCAAGAGCUGACUUUUUGGCAAUAUAUGAAACUGAGAAGAAAAAUCUGAAGAGUUGGUUGAAAACUAUCACUAAAAUUAGCCUAACAAGUAGGGCCAUCAAGUUAUAAAACACAUGCUUAUCAUAGGUCAUUCCAUAAAUCAAAGUGUUAUAGUUAAAAUGGAAAAUGAAACUCUUAAAAUUGAUAUUGCUAAACUUAAUUAAGGCUGAAAUUCUAACUCUGAAAAGUAGUUAUAGUUCAACAUCAAUUGAAAUUACUACAUGUAACUCUGAUAAGUAUGAAAAAGUAUUUCAAUAUUUUCUUGUUAAUGGUAUGAAAAGAAGAAAGUAAGCUUCUAUAAUUUAUGGAGUUACUCGAAAUGGUAAAAGAGGUCUAUGAUUUGAAGAAAUUGCAACUGAACCUAAACAUAUUCCCUAUGAUAUCUUGUGUAUUGUUUGCUCUAAGAAAUGUCACUCCAAAUUAUCUUGUCUCAUGUUAAAUACAAGGAAAUACAAGAAAUCUUUCAAGACUAACAAACCAGGACUCCACCCAAAUUUAGGUACCUAAGAAUUAAAUUGUAUGUAUUGCAGAUGUCCCCAACAAUCAAGUUAAAACACCAAUCAUGGUACCUAGACAAUGGAUGUUUGUGACACAUGACGGGAGAAAAGUCUAUGUUCCAAUAACUAACAUUGAGCAAAGGAGGCACAAUGACUUUUGGAGGAAAGAAAAAAAGCCAAAUAAUUGGUCAAGGCACUGUUGGUAAUGGUACUUCCCCUUCUAUUAAAGAUGUCUUGUUUGUUAAAGGUCUUAAGCAUAAUUUAUUAAGUAUUAGUCAGUUAAGUGAUAGUAAUUAUGAUAUUAUAUUUAAUCAAAAAAAUGCAAGGCACUAAGUCAAAAUGAUGGAUCUAUGUUUUUUACAGGUUAGAGACAAAACAACAUUUAUAAGAUAAAUAUGUUUAGUCUAGAAAAACAAAAGGUUAAGUGUCUUAUGUUAGUAAAUGAAAAGAAACUAAUUUGACACAAAAGAUUAGGUCAUGCAAACAUUAGAUUAAUUUCAAAAUUGAAUAAACUUCAACUAGUCUGAGAUCUACCUAAGCUUAGUUACAAAAUUAAAAUUAUGUGUGAAACUUUUCAAAAGAGAAAACAAACAAAGAACUCAUUUACCCAUAAGAACUCAGUCUCUACCUCAAAGCCCCUUGAGCUCUUACAUAUAUAGAUCUCUUUCGGCUAGUGAAUAAACCUCUCUACGUGGAAAGAAAUAUGGCUUUGUUAUAGUAAAAUAUUACAUGGGUAAAAUUCUAAAGAGGUAAGGAUGAAUCCCAAAAAGUGUCUAUCACAUUUAUAAACAAGUAAUGAAUGAAAAUGGUUUUAAGAUUGUAACAAUUAGAAGUGAUAAUCGAUGAGAAUUUGAAAACAAGUUCUUCGAAAGUUUUUGUGAUAAGAAUGGAAUUUCUCAUAACUUUUCAUCUCCUAGAACACCUCAACAAAAUGGAGUUGCAGAAAGAAAGAAUAGAUCACUCUAAGAAAUGGCUAGAACCAUGUUAAAUGAAAUGAAUGUUGCAAAACACUUUUGGGAUGAAACAAUUAACACAACAUGUUAUAUUCAAAAUAGAGUCUUAAUUAAUUCUAUAUUAAAUAAAACACCAUAUGAAUUGUGGAAAGGUAAAAAUCAUAACAUCUCUUACUUUAAACAAUUUGGUUGUACUUGUUAUAUGUUAAACACUAAAGAUAACUUUGUUAAAUUUGAUUAUAAAUCUCAAAAUUGUACCUUCAUUGGAUACUUUGAAAGAUCUAAGGUUUAUAGAGUGUUUAAUGGAGAAACUCAUAUUGUGAAAGAAUUCAUACAUGUUAAAUUUGAUGACAAACAACUUAACCUUAAAAAGUCAAAGCAAGAUGAUGAUAGUGCAAGUUUACUGGAACCAAAGGAAGCAUAUGCAAACAAACUAGAAGAACCUGGAAAAUCAGAGGAUACAAGCAAAUCAGAAGAAGAUGACAAAUCAUUAGAGGAUGAAUCUGACCAAGUAAGAAACAAUCAAGAUAAGUCAGAAAGGUAAGUGAUCAUUGUGAAAGUUAUCUCAUUAUGAAACUCAGAGGAUGAAUCUGUGCAAGUUACCUCAUUAUGAAAUUAUAAUCAUUGGAAGGGUAAGUGACCAAAUAAUCACUAAAAGAUACCACUUUGUUUGGCUUACUCUCAUCAAUUUAGCCUACCGUUGUUGAUGAAACAUUGACAAAUGAUAGAUGGAUUCUUGCAAUGCAAGACCAUUUAAAUGAAUUUAAGAGGAAUAUUUCAAUGCAAGCAAAGUUAAAUGAAUUUAAGAGGAAUAUAUUUAGAGUUUUGAUAUUAACAAAAGUAUUUUAUAAGAAUAAUAUAUUUGACUUCACAUAGUAGGAAAAAAGAUCCAUGUUUUUGAAAAUAAUCUAAAAUAAGAUUUAAUUCAGAUUUGAUUAAAAAGAAGAUAUGGUCAAUAUUUGAAGAAUAUAUGAUCAACAUCUUAUCAACAAGAAGAUAUGAAUUAUUUACAAGAAGAUUUUAUCAAGAUUUAUCACAAGAAGUUAUGAAUUAUUUACAAGAAGAUUUUAUCAAUAUUUAUUUACAAGAAGAAAUGAAUCAUUUACAAAAAGAUUUGAUCAAGAUUUAUCACAAGAAAAUAUGAAUUAUUUACAAGAACAUUUGGUCAAGAUUUAUCUACAAGAAGAUAUGAUCAAGAAUUGUUUACAAGAAAAAACACUCACAAGAAGAUACAUUUAUUAUUUGCAAAUAUAUGAUUCAGAUUUUGACUAAGGACAAAAUACUGAAUUGGACUUAGUCAUAUUCCUACUUGUGAAAGUUCAAGAACCGAUCCAACACUAUGUUAUCACCCAGAUCAAAGCAAGAAAUAGGAAGGAAGUUUCAUCUGAAGAAUUUGCAGAAGGAAUCUUAACAAAAUAUGAAUACUAUCAAUUUGAAGAAUUUACAAACUUAAUCUUAACAAAAUACGAACAAUAUCAAUAUGAAGUUACAAACUCCAUUUGAGGAAUUUACAAACUCAACCUGAACAAAAUAUGAACAUAAUCAAUCUAGAAGAACUGCUCAUAUUGGAUUCAGAAAUAAAGAAUUUACUAAAGACCAUAUUAUCAAAAAGCCUCUUGCUCAGAAUUAUUUUUGAAUAAGAUUAUUUUUUACCAAGCUAGGAAUGAAGAUACAGUUCAUAAUUAAAUAAUGACUAAAUUGAAGCCUUAAUUUUAUCUAUAAAUAGAUACUUAAGGAUGAAGAAGGAUAUCAUCGAAAAAUCAGAAAAUAGUAGAAAAACUCAAACUCAAACUCAAACUCAAAAUUCCAAAUUCAUCUUAAAGUUCAAAUAGAGAAACACUUGUUCGAAUGAGAAAUAUUUUCUAAGUGCUUUUCUUUGAGUAUGAUAGUCAUUGUUAUAAUCAACUUGUUAGAAGUAACUACUCAAGUUCUAAACCUUUGUAUUCAAACCUGAUAGUGGUGUUAGCGUGUCUUCAAUAAUCUGGGGUUGUCAAAUUAUAUGGAGAAGAUUUGGUUGGUAGAGUCAAGGUGUGCGUGUUCGUCAAAAUUCUAGGGUUGUCAUGUUGUUUGAGAAGAUUGUCUUGGAGUAUUAUGUGCUUUGUAAUUCAAGUUGUUGAAUUAGUAGAUUAAAUCUUUAUGAGUAGGGACAUAAUAUAGCCAAGUUAGCGGUGAAUCAAAAUAAAUUAUUUGUGUCACUUUAUUCUUGCACUCCUUAGUUUAUUAAUGUUUUUACUCCAAGUUGAGAAAAUUUGUAAUUUAUUAGAAGUAUUCUAUCUAGCUACUCAUGUAAUAUUUGAAAGUGAAUAUCCUACUGCUAAUUUUUAUCAUGCAGAAGUUUGGAGGAUAAAACAAGUAAUAGAUAAUACAAUAGAGAAUACUGAUAUUUUUAUGAAAAAAAUGGUAACACCAAUGAAAACAAAGUUUGAUAAAUAUUGGUGGGAAUGUAUCAUUUUUUAUGGCCAUUGCUAGUGUGUUGCACCCUAGGUGUAAUUUUCAAAUUGUUGAAAUAUGUUUUCCCUUAAUAUACAUUCUAAAGAAGUUUCUGAUGAGAAUAUAAAGAAGGUCGAGAAAUCAUUGGAAGAACUAUAUGGUGAGUAUGUGUCCUUGCGAAUGGAAGAGUUAUCUUGUACAAAAGUUAAUAUUGAGUUUGAUCAAAUAAUAAGCAUUCUACGUGAAAAGGAAGGAGUUCCUCCAAUGAAAUAAGAAUUACAAGCUUAUUUUUAUGAAAAUGUUUAUAAUUAUGUAGGGUAGAGUAAUUCCUUCAAUGCUUUGGAGUGGCGGAGGAACAACAACAUAAAGUACAAGAUUUUUCAAAGAUGGUUUUAGAUAUACUAGCUAUUCCGAUCUCAAGUGUGGCAUUAAAGUCUAUUGUAACGCCCCAAAUUUUUUAUCUGAAUAUUACUUAAAAAUAUUUAUUUUCUUUUAGAAACAACUAAUUUUUUUUUCUUAUGAGUAGUUCAUCAUGUAAUAAAUUGAAGAUGCGUAAGAAAAUAACUUGAUGUAUUUUUUUUCGUAAAAGAACGUAAUGUAAUUUACUAAAAUAUUAUUUAUUUAUUUAUUCAUUUGCAAAAUUAAUAUCCCAAUUGUUAGAUCGAUAUUCAUUUAGGGUCCAAAAUAAAAUAAAUUAUCUUUAAGUGAAAUUCAAAAGAAACAAGGUUGACUGAAAUUAAUGACAUUCAAUUAUUUACUAGCGAAUGAAAUCUCACUUCCACAUUUCUAUUAAAAGUUAAUGAUGACGAAUAAAUAACUUUACAAUGUACCACCAAAUUUUUAGUAAUACAAAACAAUAUUUUUAAGUAAAAGUCUCAUUUUCUCCCGCGUGUGCACCAAUCAAACAUCGUUCAUGCAACUUUUUGAGAUGAUUAGUACCUAAAUGCUGGUGUAAGGGGUCAGUUCAUCCCACAGCAAAAGUUAAACCAAAUAAUAAAAUAACAACCAUAAAAUAUGAAUAUAAAAUCUUUUCGUAAUACAAGAUAUAAAGAAAUUGAUUCUUUAAUUGUUCUCAAAGGGGUAUCAAAAAUCAUAAAAUAUAUCUAAAUAAAUCAAGUAGCAACCGUAGAACAAAUAAUUAUAAAAAAAUAAACAAUAAAAUGUAUGCAAGUUAUGCAUACUCCUAAAUAUAUUUGAUCCGGAUAUAACCAGCCACACAGACGUCCACAAAGAUGCAUAUGAUAUGUCAUGAAAUGAUAAUGAUGCUCAAAAUAUACAUGUCACCACUCACUUAAAUAAUCACACAAAUCAUCAGCCACUUAGGCAACCACAAAGAUAACAAUAUUUAAAACACAAAUCACCAGCCACUUAGGCAACCACAAAGAUAAUAAUAUUUAAAACACAAAUCCCCAGCCACUUAGGCAACCACAAAGAUAAUAAUAUUUAAAACACAAAUCACCAGCCACCUAGGCAACCACAAGAUAAUGAUAUUUAAAACACAAAUCACCAACCACUUAGGCAACCACAAAGAUAACAAUAUUUAAAACAUAAAUCACCACCCACUUACGCAACCGCAAAGAUAAAAUUUUUUAGAUUAAAUUUUUUAAUCACAUAAGACAUCAAAUUUAUAUUCUCAUGGAUGUUCAUAGUUAUAGCUCAAUAACUUCAACACAUCAAAUAUGCACGUGAAAAAAUAUCUCAAAAUCACACCACUUUCAUUUGAAUAAUCCAUAAGAUUCGAUUGGACUACGUGUUAUUGAUAACCAUUAAAACUCAUAUCACCAAAAAUACAAUAACAACAUAAAUUUCAUUCAUUUCACUAUAAAGUUUUCAGCAUUCUAAAAAUAGACUAUUAAUUAAUGCAUUCAAUAAUCAAUUUUCUCAUAUUAUUAAAAUUAAAGACAUAUAAAAUUUUCAUCAAUUUCCUCAAGACACAUAUAUUGUUCAUAACAGUCAAGUUUUAAAUUUAGAAUACUCAAAAAUCAACACUUAAAAUCAAAUACAUCAUAAUAAAUAUAUUAUUAAGUACAUCAUUAUAAAAAUUAUAACUUUAUAAUUAAAUACUCUAAAACACGUAAAACACUAAACAUAUUCACUACAAACAUAUUUAUCAAGAUAUAAUAAUAAAAAUAUAACUCUAUAAUUAAUUUCAUCAAGAUAGAUGUAUUAAAAAAAACAAUCAAAGCAUUAUAGUUAAUUUCUUUACAACGAAAAUAAAAUCAACAUUUUUUUUUAAGACAUCAUAUCAAUAUCUUACGAAUCGCUAAUUUAAUAUCUAGCCUAACUCAGCAUGGGGAAAAGCUCUUACCUUAGGCGUUUUCUUUCUUAACAUCUCUAAAUUCGCACGAGAAAUAACUUAUGAGGCAAUGAUGAAUUCAACACAUAUUGGAAUUUAUGACUUAAAAAAUUACUUUUGGAGUGUACGAAUGACAAAUAGGUGUGACAGCAAGAGGCCUAAUGGAAAUGUAUGAAAGUAAUAGCUAUUUAUGUUGUAAUAUUACGAUUGAGUUCUUGUCUAAAAUUGAAGUGCACUUAAUUCCAAAAUUAUGCUACCAAUAAUUACUAUUUAUUUAAUUUUAUUAGGUUGUUACAAAGUCAAUUGAAAUCAUGUGUAUUUAUGUGUAUGAGUUAAUUAGGAUUAACUAAUAAAGUUCACCAUAUAUUGCAGGGUGUCACACCAUCCAUUUUAAUUAAAUAAAUAAAUUAGAGAUUGUCACGUCACCCUUUUAAUUUUUUUUUAUCUAAUAGUUACGAAACCAAAAAUUUCAUAGAAUUAUUUUUGUAGACAAUUAAAAUAAAAUUAUUAUAAUUUUAGUUUAAAAAGGAUGAAUGCAUGAGAUACAAAAAGGACAAUAGUCUUUUUGUAUCCUCUCUUAAUUGCACAAAAAAAAAACUUAUAAUUAAAUUUAUAAUCUUCCUUUAAAAAAUAAAUUAAAGGUGUUAAAAAUCAGUUAAUGCACAUUAUGCCAAGAAACACAAUGAAUUGUCUUAAAAUCUUGUCAUAAAAGAGAGUAAAAGAAUUAGUUAAGUCACUAGUUUUUUUUUUUUUUAGGAUGGACCAAAAAUAUUUUCAAAACACUUAUAUAUAAAGGUUGGGUUUCACUAACUCUAUAAUAUCUCCUAAAAUAAAUACUUAUUUGGUCGUAAAUAAAACUAACAAAUAAUAUAACUUUUAUAAAUUCUAAUUUAAUUAAAUAAUUCAACUAAUAUUUUAUCAACCAAAAUAAAUCAAGCAAAAUAAGAAUACCACCCACACAUAACAAAAUAAAACAAACAUAUCUAACACAUCAAUUUCAUGAUUAUCGAAACUAAUCAAAUAAAAAAUGCACAAUAGUCCAUUUAGAAAAUAAUCACAUCAUAAAUCAUCCCCGUGUAAUUGACACGCGAAAAUAAUUAAAUAAAAAUAAAGGUUAUAAUUAUUCAGGUAAAAUAGAGCGUGAUAAAAUUUAGUUUAAUUUAUUUAUACAUAAAAUAAUUAUUAAUUUAAUAAUAAAUCAUAACAAUUAAUAACAAAACACAUAUAUAAUAUAUAUGAAAAUUUUGGAUUGUUAAGAAUGCUGCCCGCUCCGUAGCCUCAAACGCAUCUACAUUUAAUGCUGGGGUAAAGUUAUUGAUGAGUUUCAUUCAAGAUUGAAUGAGAAAUCAAUUGAAGCCUUAAUUGUGGGGGAGAUUGAUUUCGUCAUAAGUUUAACGCGAAGAUAAAGUCUAAGGUAAUAAUCUCUUAUUUUGUUAUGUUUCUUAUUUUAUAUUUUAAAUAAUAACAGUUUGAAUUCAAAUUUUUUUUAAGGUGGAGAAACAACAUGAAGAGGUCACCUUGAAGAUUUGAUGUAAUACUUUUCCAAUAUAUGGAUGUUGCAUCUUUUUAAUUGUCAUAUUUAAAUUAAAAUAUUAUUUAUGUAAUGACUUAGUAAGACUUAAAUCGUAUUAUGGUUGCAUUUGACAAAUUGUUCACUUAUUUAGAACUAAUGACCUUGUUAUAAUAUUAUUGAAUUUGUUUCUUAACUUAAGGUCUAUUUGAUUGUCUUAAGUUUUUAAUUUCAAUUGUCCUAUUGCAUUAGCAAAUUAAUUGAGGACUUAUAUUUAGUUAAAUGGUAAGCUGUUAGGUCUUUUUACCUUUAGCCUUUAAUUUUAGGCCGAUUGACCUAUUUAAUUAUGAUUGCAUUUAAAUGUUUUAAUAUGAAAAAAAAAAAAGUGCUUAAAUAGGCUUUCAAACUAAUAGGCUUUUAAAAGGCCAGAUUCGACCUCAAAAAAUUGUUUAUGACACGUAAAGAGGCCAAAAUUAUACUUUAAAUUUUCAAAACAAGUUAACUCUAUUUGACCAUAACCUACCUUAACGUACCCCAUUUUCACCCUAGUACCGAUACAUGCUAUUUUUUAUAUAGUGUCAUUGAUAUUUAAUAAUAUUUAAUUGAUAAUGGAGUACAUGCAAAAUCUAAUUAUAUCAUUGGUAUUGAUUAUGUAACAAUAAAGUAAAAAAAAAAGUUAGUAAUGAAGAUUUUUUUAAUUAUAUCCUCUUUUUGGAAAUUUUUUUCUUUUAAAAUAUUCUACUUUGAGACUAUAUCAAAAUAUCUUAUUUUUUUAGAGUUUUCAAGAGUGUCGCAGGACGGGGAUAGAAUGAUGUAUUGCGAUGAAAAUUUUAUUCCUUUAAGAGGUUGCAUCAAUCUAUUGUUUUAUUUGUAUAUUUUUUUUAACUAAUUAAAAAAUAAUAGACUUAAUUAUCGUUUUAUUCCCUCUAUUUUUACUAAUUCACGAAAUUAGUCAAAUAUAUUUUAAAAGUUGACAAUUUUGGUCCUCCUUCAGAUUUCUUAACUUAAAAAUAGUGGUUUUAAAUAUUUUUAAUGACAUGAUAUCGUGAUGUAGAAUCAUCUAGAUGCAUUAAUUAUAUUUAUAUUAUUAAUUAAAUUAUAAAAAUGAAUAAUUUCAUAAGUUGAAACUAAAGUUUUUAGAAGAUCUUGUUGUAAUUUUAUGGAUAUUAAUUAUUUAACAUCAUCAUAUCAUAUGUCACGUCUUUUAAAACAUGUCACAUCAUCAUUUUUUAGUUAAAAAAUAUAAGAGAGAGACCAAAACUGUUUAAUUUUAAAAUAUAUUGACUAAUUUCGUGAAUUAGUAAAAAUAGGAGAUUUAAACUGCAAUUAAGUCAAAAUAAUAAAAUAUCAAAAUAAUAGAUGAUCGUAUCCUAGAAUGUGAGGGGUUGACAAAGGGAAUUUUUAAGCACAAUACACGUCAUCUCCUCCCUGCGAUCAAUAAAAAAUUAGAAUUUUUUUUUUGUUAUUAGGAGAGAUUAUAAAUUCUACCAUAAUUAACUCACACGAUACCGAGUUCAAACCCAAACAAGAUAUUCAACCUACAACAUUUAUCAAUUAAAAAGGACAAAAAUUAAAAUGAUAAAUGUUAUUUAAACACAUUUUUAAACACAAAUACUAUCAUAUACUAUACAUAUGUGGCCCCCACACAAUCUCUCUGUUCUUUUACUUUCUCCCUUUUAUCUCUCUUUCUUCACUUUUUUUUUUCUUCCUCUAUAAAAACAAACCUCACACAUUCAUCUUCAAUUUCUUCCAUAAUUCCUUAUUCUUCCUUUUAUUUACUCAUUUUAAUUUUGGGUAAACAUUAGAUUAGAGAGAAACAUCAUGAUUUUGAAGGGAGAUGAAGAAAAAUAGGAAAAAAAAUCAAAUUUUUAAUGAAGUAACUUUAGCAACCUUAUUUACUCCCAUGCAAGGUAACUUCUCAUUUCCUUCUUUCCCAUAAUGUUGAGUUUCAAAUUUUUGUCUUUCAUUUAUUGAUGGGGUUGUUUACCUAUCUCAUUUACUUGAACUUGUUUACUUUAAGAAGGUGUUUUUUUCAGACACUAGUAUUGAGAAAAAUUGCAAUUGUUUUUGGUAUAUUAUUUUGCUUAAAUAUAAAUUUUUGUUUUUUUGGGUUCAUACCUAGUUUUUCCGCAUCUAGUUAAUAAUAUAAACAUUAUUGAUCAAUGAAGUACAAUAGGUGGUUAAUGACUUAUUUUUGUAUAAAAAUUAGAACUGUGAAUUGUUAAUCAAUCAUGUUAUUUAUUUUUGUCUAAAUAUUAACUUUUAUCACUGUUAAUCAAUUAUGUUAAUCAAAUUUGAAUUGUUAAGUUUGAUCAAUAUCUAAAUUGUUGGUAGGUUUAACACAUUUCAUAUUAUGUAAUUAAUAGUGGACCAAUUCUGGGUCUUUCUGAUUUUUUUCCCUAGUUAAUAGUGUAAAUAUUAUUGGUUAGUGGUCUAAAUGUGGUAGGUCUAACACAUUUUACAUUAUGUGUUUAAUGAUGUGCUAAUUGUUGGUUACUAAAGUGCAUACAGUGGUUAAUGAUCGGAUUGAAUUAUUUUUUGUAGUUUUUGUGUGACAUUGGCACUAUCAAUUGAAACUUCAUGGAUUGUGGUACUAUUGAAGAUGAAGGUAUCAGAGUUGACAACCUUGAUGAUGAUGAUGACAAUGCAUGUUGUUGGGAGCCUGCAACAGGGAUGUUUUUUUUUUUUUUUUUGCUUAGAUAAAGUCAAAUCAUUUUAUGAACAGUAUGCUUCGAGAAAGGGUUUUAGGUGGAAGAUUAUAUCUUCAAGAAAAGGGCAAGAUGGAGAGCUCUGCUACUUAAUUUUAUCAUGCUCAAGAGAGGGGUCUAAAGUGUCAAAAAAAUUGUGUACGUUAAAAACACUUCCAACUAAAGUAAAUAAUUGUCCCGCCAAGAUUGUUAUUAAGUUGGAUAAAGAUGGAUUAUGGUACAUUACAAAAUUCGAACAUGAUCAUACUCACGAGACGACUCCUACAAAGGCAAGGAUGUUCAAAGCUAACAAGAAUAUGAAUUUGCAUGUGAAGACAAUCUUUUGUCACAAUUCAACACAGCUGUGAUAAAAUGUAAAUGUUUUAUCAAUUUUGUCAUUUUUUAUAUGACAUUUUGUUGCAAUAAACAGUCAAGUAAAUGGAUUGUAUGAUAAUCAUGUACGUGGUUUAUCACUUUUGUCACUUUUUUGUAUGACAAUUUUGUUAAUGGAUUUGAAUAGAAUGUUAGGUCAUUCUUAUCAGACAAAAUAUAAAUCUGGUUAAUGGCUUUAAGAAACAUGGUUAAUGUUUUGAACAUCUUGAUUAAUGGAUUCGAAUUGAAAACUUGGUCAUCUAAUCAAACAAGAUAUAAACGUGGUUAAUGACCUAAAAUAAUAUGGUUAAUUCUUUGCACAACUUGGUUAAUGGAUUUGAACAGAAAGUUUGGUCAUUCUUAUUAGACAAUAUAAAUUUGGUUAAUAGCUUUAAGAAAUAUGGUUAAUAUUGUGAACAACUUGGUUAAUGGAUUCGUAUAGAAAACUUGAGCAUUAUAAUCAAACAAGAUAUAACUCUGGUUAAUGACUUAAAACCAUAUGGUUAAUGGCUUGCACAACUUGGUUAAUGGAUUUGAACAGAAAAUUUGGUCAUUCUUAUCCGAUAAUAUAAAUAUGGUUAAUGGCUUUAAGAAACAUGGUUAAUGUUGUGAACAACUUGGUUAAUGGAUUCGAACUGAAAACUUGGGCAUUCUAAUCAAACAAGAUAUAAACCUGGUUAAUGACUUAAAAAAUAUGGUUAAUUCCUUGCACAACUUGGUUAAAGGAUUUGAACAGUAAAUUUGGUCAUUUUUAUCGGACAAUAUAAAUAUAGUUAAUGGCUUUAAGAAGCAUGGUUAAUGUUGUGAAUAACUUGGUUAAUGGAUUCGAACUAAAAAUUUGGGCAUUCUAAUCAAACAAGAUAUAAACCUAGUUAAUGAUUUAAAAAAAUAUGGUUAAUUCCUUACACAACUUGGUUAAUGGAUUUGAACAUAAAAUUUGGUCAUUCUUAUCAGACAAUAUAAAUCUUGUUAAUGACUUUAAGAAACAUGGUUAAUAUUAUGAACAACUUGGUUAAUAUAUUUGAACUGAAAACUUCAGCAUUCUAAUCAAACAAGAUAAAAACUGGUUAAUGACUUAAAAAAAAUAUGGUUAAUUCCUUGCACAAUUUGGUUAAUGGAUUUGAACAUAAAGUUUGGUCAUUCUAAUCAAACAAUAUAAAUCAGGCUAAUGGCUUUAAGAAACAUGGAUUUGUUCAUACAUAAAAAUCAACGACUAAUGCACACUAAUUUUUAACCCUACAUAUUUAGAGACCAACAACAUUUAAUCAACACUAAUUUUUAACCAUACAUAUUUGGAUACUAAAAGCAAAAUCUAAUGCGCACUAAUUUUUAACCAUACAUAUUUGUUCAUAAAAACAUAAAGAAAGAAAAAAGAGAGGCAAAAGGUGUGGUUCACCAACUACAUCACUAUGGAGAACCUUCCAAAAACUCAAAAUAUGCCAAUAACACUUAUUUUUUAUUUUUCUUUUUCUUCUUCUUUUCAUCCAGAUUCACAAACGGACUUUGAUUGACUACAUUUUUAACUCGCUUCCUUGGUUUAUCUUUCAUUCUCAUAAUUAUGUUUGACGUUGGUUUUAAUGAACUGUCCAUGUUAGGAUCACUUGUUAAAAAAUGUAUUAAAAUUAUAUCAAGACAAAACUACAACAACACCACAACAUAUACAAUUUAUUACUUACCAACAACAUUUUCUGCGACUUCAUCCCCAACAUUCUCAACAGGGGUCCUAACAUUCAAUCUAAUGAUCAUUUGAAUCAACAAAACUAUAAUUUUAAAAAAAUCCUCAAACUUGUUAAUGAAUUAAUUAAGAUACUAAUCAUGUAUUGAACUGCAAUGAUAUCCAUACAAAUCUUCCAAUUCAGAAUUUAAGGUCACAUAAAACAUACUGAAAUUCCAUUAUGCAACUUGAAUUGGACAAUAAAUGAAAGAACAUGCCAAAAAAAUUAAUGAGCAACGACCAAAGAAAACACACACAAAAACUAUAAAUCUAUCUACCGCAAUUAUUAAACGAAAAACAAGAAAUUAAUUUUGCAUCAAAAGGAAGAAAAAAAAAAGGAGUAGAAAAAAAGAGGAAAAAAUAAUGAAAGAAAAACCGGCCGUUGAAGAAGAGAUGAGAAACCCUAAUUCAAAAUUAGCAACAAAAGAAAUCCUAAAUCAAUAACUAAAAACCCUAAAUUGAAAGAAACAACAAUCAUACAAAGAAGCAACAACAAUGAUAGAAAGAAGUAAACUUACAAUGAAAACACCCAACAAUUUGUAAUUAUCGCACAAAGAAGACGCAAGCGACAACGAGCGAUGACGAUGGGGAAGGAAGCAGAUGAGACGAGCUAAGAAAGAAACGGAGAGAAGGAAGAUGAGACAGGCUAAUAUGAGACGAGCUAUGACGAUGACGAAGAGAAGGAAGAAACGCUAAAGAAGAAGAAAAGGAAGAAUCGUAUAAGAGUUUUCAUCAUAAGAAACAACCCGGUUUUCGAGACUUCUUACAUUGCAUUACCAUAAUGACAUAAAUUGCUCUUGUGACUCAGAAUGAACCUUUCUCGGUGGAAGAAAGGAAUAGCGAUGGAGAAGCAUUCAGGAACAAGAAUGAAGUACCGUAUAAGGGUUUUCUGAAGAAGAGAAAAGGUUUUCUAAGAGAAAGAGUUUUCUGAAAAUAACUAGCAAAAUGGCUAAAUUGUCUCUUAGGUAUGUAUACGUAUGCAAUAUAUGUGUUUGUAUUUAUAUCCAAAAAUAUGUUUAAAUAUCAUUGCUCAAAUUAAAAUAUUUUAGAUUAAAAAAAAAAGAAGAUAUAAUUGAAAAAAAAAUCGUAAUGAUAUGGUACCUCUUAGAUUUUCUAGAUAUAUAUUAGACUAAAAACAAUAUAAAUAGGUUUGUUGUUUCUGCUUUUACGCCUCUUUUGAUUCGAUUUACCCUUUCACCCAAAACUUCAAAACCAUCCUUACUUUGCCAUCAACCAAGACCAUCGGCCUUCCACCUUUCGACAGUGUUUUCCAGCGACCAACCACCGUCCUUUCUUCUUUAUCAAUUGUUUAGUUCUGGUUUUUUUUCUUUCUAUUCAUCCUUACCAAGUUUUUUUUCUCUCUUAUUUAUUCUUUUUUUUAUGUUGUUUCAACGGUUGUUUUGAUUCUUAUUUACAACAUUUUAGUUUUGAUUUCUUUGUUUUUUGGCGUGCUGUCUCAUUGAUUUUCUCUUAUUUUAGAUUGAUUUUCAUGUGGUUUUUGCUAUAGGUGGACAACAUAUUCGGACCCGACCACAUCCACAGCCUCACAUCGUCUCCAUCGGCACCAUUGUCGCCUUUACCAUUAUCGUCGUCUCACUCUAGCCUUCACCAUCUUCUGUUGUUUGUUUGAAAUAUAUUAUAAUUUGUGUGUUUUGGUUUGCUCUUCUUGUCGAAGUUACUCUUUUGUGUUAGGGUUUGAUCUAGUAGGAACUUUUUUAUGAAAAACGACUCAAAAAACGCAUUAGCCGUUCAAUGGGUACCCAAUAAAUCUGACAUGUCUAACCCGAAACCCGACCUAAACCGCUAUAAAAGGGUCGAAAAUGGGUCUACACGUGUCACCCAUGGGUUGAUUCGAAUGUGGGAUUUGAACUCGAACCCACCCGAACCCGGUUGUUGUUCACCCCUAGUUUUUGCACUGUAUCCUUGGAAUCAUGACUUGCAAAUAUGGGUGGGAAUAGGUCAGGUCAGACCAGGCUUUGAAAGGCUUGAGUCUGGCCUACAAAAAAAAAUUAGGCCUAAGCCUGACCUACGACUUAUCAUAGACUCUUUUUUCGGCAUAACAUGACCUUUUUAAAAGUCUGGUCUGACCUGAAAGCCUAUUUAAAAUCCUUAUUAACAUUAAAAUAUUUAAAUGUUAUAUUUUAUAUUUUUUAAAUAGGUUAAAAUAUACAUUUAUAUAAAAGGAAAACUAAUGAAAUUAUCAUCAAAUCUAAUAAAAUAAUAAUUAACAAGUCCGCACUACAACAACCUUCCAAGAAAACAAAAAACAAAAUGAAUCAAUAACUAGUCUGUAAGACCCUUAAUUUUUAAAUCCUAAAUUAUACAAUUUUAGGGUAUUUGGUGUUGAAGUUUUUAGGCUUUUAGCCUAGUUUUUGGUAAUUAUGUGUGUGUGUGUGUUGAAGUUUUUAGGCUUUUAGCCUGUAAAAACAAAGGAAAACAGAAACGGAAGAAAACGAAAACAUUUCCUCCCCGUUUAUCGCAAACCCAUUAUCUUCUUCCUUCUUCUUCAUUUUUGUUGCUUCCUUUUGCUUCAAGAAAGGGAACCAAGGCUUGGUGGGUUAGAAAACAAAGAUUCCUCAACUUCAUUCUUUUUGUUUUAUUCGAAAACAAAGAAAAACGGUGUUAGGGAUUUCAAAACCGUCAAACACAAACCCCCACUUUUCUUCUAGAUCUAAGCUUCGUUUCGAAAAUAGAUAGAAGGGAAAGUUGCUCACCUCCACGCUACGGUGCUAGUGAACUAACUUUGGAAGCUACGUUGCGAGCAGAGAUUUUACCGGAAUUAAUUACGGUGCCGUAAUCGCGUGUUAGAACUAUCGUUAAGGUAAGGUCUCCUUCUAAACUUCUAGUUUGCAUUUAGGGACUUAUCUGUGGUUGUGUGGAAAAGAAAUUUGUUAGGGUUGAAGUGUUGAUUUGGGGAAAAUGAAUUUAAUGCUUUUAUGGGUAAAAUUUUAGAGUUGGGUUUUGGUGAUAUUAAUGAGUGUUUCGUGGAAAAUGAAUUUAACUCAUUUAUGUGUGGUUUUGAGGAAAUUAAAUUUGAUGUGUUUGAGUGGUGGGUUGAGAUAAUUUUGUGGUUGUCGUGUUUGACGUGUUCAUAAUUAAUAUUUAUAAAUUUUGAGAUGUGUUUGUGUGGAUUUUGUGGAAAAAUUAAUUGAUGUGAUUUGGUGUGAAUUGUGGAUUGAAUUUGAGAAUAUGUCUGAGUAUGUUCUGUGUGGAAUUUGAAAAUCAUUAGAGUUAAACGAGUAUUAAAAAUGGGGAAUCUUUUAAUAUCUCUAUUUACCUAAUGUUUGUAGUGAAAAUCGUUAGAGUUAAAUGGAUUUUGUGGAAAAAUGAAUUGAGGUGAUUUGGUGUGAAUUGUGGAUUGAAUUUGAGAAUAUGUCUGAGUAUGUUCUGUGUGGAAUUUGAAAAUCAUUAGAGUUAAACGAGUAUUAAAAGUGGGGAAUCUUUUAAUAUCUCUAUUUACUUAAUGUUUGUAGUGAUAAUUGUUAGAGUUAAAUGAGUAUUAAGAAUGGGGAAUCUCUUAAUAUCAGUAUUUACCUAAUGAUUGUCGUCAAAAUUGUUAGAGUUAAACGAGUAUUAAAAAUGGGGAAUCUUUUAAUAUCUCUGUUUACUUAAUGAUUGUCGUGAAAAUUGUUAGAGUUAAAUGAGUAUAAAAAAUGGGGAAUCUAUUAAUAUCUGCAUUUACUUAACGAUUGUCGUGGAUAGAGUCAGAGUAUGCUCAUGCAUUUCAUAGUACAUGGCGACCGAAUGGGCCAUGGUGAUAGUGGUGACCGGAUGGGCCACGAGAUGAUUCCAUGUGAUUUGUUGGUUCAUCUUAUCCUUGCGGGGAUUGUCGCGUCCUGUAAGGUCUGCGAUAGACUGCACAUUUUUGGUAAAUCGUGCAGACCCGUGAUAGGUGGCACCUCGGUAAAUAGUACUUCGGCCUGUGAUAGGCGGUACAUUUACGAUUUACGUUUUUAGUAAAUUGUGAUGACCCGUGAUAGGUAGCACCUCGGUAAAUAGUACUUCGACCUGUGAUAGGCGGUACAUUUACGAUUUACAUUUUUAGUAAAUCGUGAUGACCCGUGAUAGGUGAUACCACAGUAAAUAGUACUUCGGUCUGUGAUAGGCGGUACAUUUACGAUUUACGUUUUUAGUAAAUCGUGUUGACCCGUGAUAGGUAGCACCUCGGUAAAUAGUACUUCGGCCUAUGAUAGGCGGUACAUUUACGAUUUACGUUUUUAGUAAAUCGUGCUGACCCGUGAUAAGUAGCACCUCGUUAAAUAGUACUUCGGCCUGUGAUAGGCGGUACAUUUAUGAUUUACGUUUUUAGUAAAUCGUGUUGACCCGUGAUAGGUAGCAUCUCGAUAAAUAGUACUUCGGCCUGUGAUAGACGGUACAUUUACGAUUUACGUUUUUAGUAAAUCGUGCUGACCCGUGAUAGGUAGCACCUCGGUAAAUAGUACUUCGGCCUGUGAUAGGCGGUACAUUUACGAUUUACGUUUUUAGUAAAUCGUGCUGACCCGUGAUAGGUGGCACCUCGACAAAUAGUACUUCGGCAUGUGAUAGGCGGUACAUUUACGAUUUACGUUUUUAGUAAAUCGUGCUGACCCGUGAUAGGUAGCACCUCGGUAAUUUAGUAAUCCGGUAUGUGAUAGGCGGUACAAUUAUGAUUUACGGCCCUUCGAGGAGGGUUUUGAUUGGAAUUCUGAGUCCAUGCAUUUUGGCAUAUACGCAUUGCAUUAGGGUGCUUGGCACGCGAGUCGUGUUUGAUUCAAGAUUAUGAUUGAGUGUUUGAACUCAAGUUGUCAUGGUGAUUGUGUUAUAAUUGCCAAGUGUGGAUGUUAUGGAAUUGUGUGUAAGUGUGAUUGAUUGCAAAACCUUUUCGAAACUCAAGUUGUCAUGGUGAUUGUGUUAUAAUUGCCAAGUGUGGAUGUUAUGGAAUUGUGUGUAAGUGUGAUUGAUUGCAAAACAUUUUCGAAACUCAAGUUGUCGUGGUGAUUGUGUUAUAAUUGCUAAGUGUGAAUGUUUUGAAAUUGUGUGUAACUGUGAUUGAUUGCAAAACCUUUUCGAAACUCAAGUUGUCAUGGUGAUUGUGUUAUAAUUGCCAAGUGUGGAUGUUAUGGAAUUGUGUGUAAGUGUGAUUGAUUGCAAAACCUUUUCGAAACUCAAGUUGUCAUGGUGAUUGUGUUAUAAUUGCCAAGUGUGGAUGUUAUGGAAUUGUGUGUAAGUGUGAUUGAUUGCAAAACCUUUUCGAAACUCAAGUCGUCAUGGUGAUUGGGCUAUAAUAGCUAAGUGUGAUUGGUUAGAUUUGUGUGUAAGUGUUGAUUGAUUUCAAAACCCUUUUAAAAGCUGAAUUUUGUUGUUUUUCUGCUGCUGUCUGAUGUGUAUUCGAAUACAGACUGUUGUAUUCGUAUACAGACAUGCUAUUUUGCUACUGACUUACUGUGUAGUCGAAUACAGACUGUUGUAUUCGAAUACAAACAUGUUAUUUUUGCUGCUGAAUGCUGGAACAGCCUUGUAUUCGAAUACAGAGAUGUUGUAUUCGAAUACAACAGUGCUCUUUUGUUAAAAACUUCAUUUUUCGACCUUGUUUAUGCAUGUUUGGCAUAUGAAAACCCUUUUAAGGUGCAUGCUAAGUUGAAAGGUUAUUUUGUGCAUUUAAAAACUUAAAUGUUAUGUGUUAAUUGUUAAUUUCGGUUGGUGACCCUUUACAACUAUUGUGGAAAUCUGGGCUUUGCCCUCAUAUGAGAACCAGGACCAUCCUACCGGUUAGUACCCUGUAGAUAGGAAGGUAGUUGGAAACACCUGACUGGAGCUGUGUUUGGAGGAUCUUGCGGGGCGCGUGAAGAUCAUCAAGGAUGUAUAGUUUUUUGUAGAAUGAUCAGAUUAGGUUGACGUAUAGGGACUAGAUGUCUUUCUUUUUGGGUUGUGUUUAUUUUAAUUUGGAAGAUUGUACCUAUAUCAAUAUUGUGAGCUUGACAUUUUAUUUUGAUGGGUUCCAUGUACCACUUUUUGAUGUGACGUGGGGAAGUUAAGAUUCUUGGGCAUGGCUAUUGUACAUGUGUCUGUCAAGAAUACCCCAGGGGUAUGAGCUAUGUCUGAUAGGUCUCAUAGCCUCGGUGCAUUUUGCUGUUUUAAAUACUUUGGAUUUUAAUUUCAAACUAUUUCCGCUGCUUGUAAAUGUUGGUGACUUUUGUUGUUGUGUUACGACUUAAAUAUUUAUCCAAAAGUAUUUUUUUCUUUAUUUCUUUGUUUUUAUGAAUUUGUUUUGAAAAAAAAAAAUACACUCGCGCUGUUAAAAAUUGGGGUGUUACAACUGUCCAUAUAUACAUAUCAAACUACAUGCUCUACCCAUACCAAUUUACAUGAUGUUCUACCCAUACCACAUAAUGCUCUCCACAUACCAAUACCAAUUUACAUAUCUAUAUAUAUUAAACCAAAAAUGAUUUUUCUAACAAAAUUUUAAAAAAAUUUGAAACAAACACCAUUUAAACCCUAAAAAAUGAUUUUUGGUUUCAAAGGAUAGAUUAUUUCCUGAAACAAAUGCACUCAUUAUUACCUCUCAAACAAAUAUAGAACCACUAUUGAGUGAUUGUCUAAUUGAACGACUACUGAAUAUGGAACGACUACUCAAUAUAGAAUCGCUAUCGAAUAUCAAACAGAUAUCGAAUAUGGAGUGACUAUUGAUAGGCCGACCUGUCAGGCCUAAUAGAUUUUUUUAUAAGUCUGAACAUAAACUAUUUAAAUAAAUAUGCUUUAAAAAUAGUCUGAACUAACCUUUUUAUUAAAUAGGUCAGACCAUAGGUCUAUGACGGACGACCUAUCCUAUUCUCAUCCAGCUUGCAAAUAGUUUUUUAAAGAAUCUUGAUUAUAAUGAAUAAAUUAUUAAUAUUUUUGUAAAAAAAAAUAUAAAUAUCACAAGAAUUUAUUUUUUAUAAUUCGUUUAGAGCAGCAAAUACUAAGAAUAAGCGAAAAAAAUCAAAAAUUAAACUAAUUUAAAAAACUAAAUCAAAUUUAAUUAUUUUUAAAUUUAACUAAAAUAAAAAAAAUAAAAAAUCAAAUUUUAUUUAAAAAUCAAUUUUUUUAACCGAACUGAUUUAAAAAAAAAAAAGAGUAAACUAUAACUAUAAUUUAAUUUUAAAUUUUAAUUUUAAUUUUAACAAAACCUCAAAAUUUCAAAAAUCCUAAAUCUACGUUGUAGAAUCUAAAAUUGAAUGCCUUCGCCCGCCGCCGCAUCAAAUAGAAAAAGCCAUCUUUUCUCACUUCUUCGUCGCCCUCCGUCUUCUCUCUUGGCGCAACAAUUCUUCGCCCUCCGUCUUCUCUCUUCGCACAACAAUUCAUCGCACUUUGUCUUCUCUCUUCGCGAGUCUGCGCCCUCUGUCGCCCUCUGUCUUCCGCCGUUACCUCUUAGGUAUUCAUCCACCUCCGUUUUCGCCGAUUCACCAUUUUGGUUCAUCUUCAUGAUUUUGCUUGUCUGAUACCUUUUGAUUUGCUUGUCUUGAUGAUUUGGCAAAUAUCUUAAAACAUCUCUGACGGUAACCAAAUAAGUUUGUACCUAACAAAUCAAAAUUUUUGGCGAGUUCACUCUCAGCACUGUUACCUUUUUUUAUUAAUUUAUUAAUAAUAAUAAAUUUAAUGAAUCCAUGUUGUUGAAUUUACUGUUGAAUAAAAAAUGAAAGUUGCUUCAAGAUGACGUGACACAGUUGAUCCUAUUUAAUAAACUCACAGUUGGAGAUGUUCUUAUUACCCGUCCUAACUAUUGUCACUAAUUUAGUAAUUUUUAUUCUUAUAAUGACUUUGUAACUGAACAUUCCUUUAAUUUCUCAAGUAAAUAUUUUUUUACCUAUAGAUUUCAGUUUUAUAGUUCGGAUUUUUUUAAUAUAUAUCUUCUCAGGCUCUUCAUAUUUUGCUUAGGUUGGAUCAGAUCAGUUAAAUUAUGAAGUUUUAUGGAACAGAUUUAGGUUCUAUUUUGCAAUGCAUAAAGCGCAGUGAAAAACAGAUCAAACUUAAGAAGAGGUAACCUUCAUUUUUCUUUUACUUUGGUGUUAGAUAUAUUAACAAAAUUUAAUUACAUUAGAAUUAAACUCGUGGUGCAGGUGGUUACUUGGCUUACCUGCUACAAAACUUGAGAGGAAGAAGUUGAAAGAAAUUCUAAAUACAGGGUCAGUGCUUCAUUUGUUCAAUGAUUUAGCCUUUUUGGAUAAACAUACUUAUUAAGUAAGCUCUUAUUUAAUAUUUAUAUAUGUUGUUUCUAUAACAAAACAUAAAAUAUAUUCAAUUCUUAAGUUAUCAUGAAGAGCUAAUGGAAAUAAGCUGAAAACAGCCUUAUGAACAUGUCAUAAGUUGUUUUUAUAAGUUCUCCCAAAUAGUCUCACAAGUGCUUAUGCCAGUAGAUAAAUAUAGAUAAGCAAAUCCAAACAGACCUUUAAUCACCUCACCAUGCUUCACUCUAAUGAAUUCUUUUCUUUUCUUUGUUUUCUUUUCCCAUUAACAGAGAUUUGGCAGAGUCUUUACUCAGGAAAGAUGAUGAUGUAAGUUUCCUUUAUUGUAUUAUUAUAUGCUUACAUUUACUUGAAUUGCUCUUCGAAGAUUUUAAAUUUGAAUGAUAGAUUGAUAAUCUAAUAAUAAUUUCAUCAGAUAUUUUAUGAGUCGGUGAGAACUCGUGUUGAACGCGCCUUUGGAGCACACUCCAUUGAAACAGAGAAUUGUAUUCCUCGUGAUGAUAUGGAUUUGAAUCAAAUACCAAACUUAAAAAGGUUGAUUGUAUCAUGCCUCGACAAUUUGACCACCAAGGGUCUAUACCUUCUUGCUAUGAUAGUUAGUGGUGGCACAACAAAGUAUGAAAGAACUCGUGUUAAGUUGAAAAAGAUCAUCAAGGGUUCUCUUUCUAGUGUUCUGAAUAGCAAAGAACACAAUAACCAAAAACUGGAAAUUUGUAAACAGAUUUUUCAACAUCUCAACAAUCCUCAGCAUUUUCGACAUAGGUGUGAGCUUUUGCAUGAAUCCGGGUCCCAAUCUUACCAUGCUGCUGUAAUAAAGGUGUUGUGUGAACUUGAAAAAUUACCAUCCGAAUCCUUGAUUGCAAUGCGUAGAAAACUUAAAGAUGUUAAAGCACCGGUGCCUCAGUUGCAACCGUUCAAAGACCCAUGGUCACGGAGCAGGCUACUCCAAACAGUGAAUCGAAGCUGUAGAAAGAUGCUUUUACAACUUGAUAGAGGAAAUGAGUUACAAGAGCCAUUAGCCAAAGCCAUGUCCGUAGCAUAUUUAUCACUAAAACUGAAAACUGGUUUUUUUAACAAAUUUUUAGAAGAAUUUUACCAGUUCUCGACUGAAGUGAAGUCCCUGCAGAGUGAUAUUAUAAAUGCUAUACGGUCCAUUGAGGAAGUUGAAGUAGUGCCAUUGCAAGUGCUUAAAGAUUUACAACUUCUCAUUGAACCAAAGGCUACAAUAUCAAACAAGGGCUUACGGCCAGCUUUUAGAAAUCUUUUGACUGAGUUUCUUUUUGAGUGCAGUGAUAUGGAUAGCACUCCAAAGUCUCUAUUGCAGAUCCUAGAUGUUAUUAAUAAGAGUUCUAAUAGCAGCACAAACGAUGUAACGUUCCAGAAGAAGUAUAUUGAUGAAGAAGUUGACUGCAUACUAAGUGUGAGUGCUCAAACAAAUCAAAUUAUUCAAGAUUUGUUGCCAAACAGUGAAUUUGACCAGGACUUCACUGAUGCAUAUAUGGAGCAAUCAGAAGAAAGUGAUGACAGUGACAGUGAUGAAGAUGAGAAUAGUAAUGGUAGUCAACUUCAGGAGAAUAGACAUUUUGAAAAUGGAGCAUUUAGUACAAUGUAUUCAAAUUGUGAGGGAGAAAGUGUUGGGGAUUUUACACCAUUUGAGUUUCAUCCUCCUACCACUAUUACCGAGCCACUUACUUCAAGUGAAAGGUUGAAUAGUGAUGCAACAAAUUUGGAAUUGAAAAAUUGCAACACUCCAUAUAAUAAUCAAUGCCAAGAAGAAAGCACUGAGCAGUUUAGUGCAUCUGUGGGAUAUAAAAACUAUAAUUCUUCAGUUGUUUCACCUGACAAGGAACCUGGUGAAAAUAUUGUCAGGAGACAUGAUUUUUACAAAUCAUACACAGAAGUUGACCCAAAAGAUGCAUCUAACUUUUGUGAGGAGACAGAACCCAUGCCCACUAAGUACAACGCAUGCAACAACCAAUACCUUGCUACCCAAGAUGCUUGUGAUAAAACAGCUAUGCUUGCAUAUAAUCUCAUAGGUGAUAUGUUGAAAGAGUUUGCCGCAACUGAAGGCCUAAACCUAAACAUAAGCGAUCGUUCAUACCUCAAUCACGAAGCAAAAGGUACUGAAAAUUUCUUCUAUUACUACCACUACAACAAAUUUAUUCACAUAAUGUUGAAUGAUCAUAAUAUUGCUACUCUACAUAUUUUAUGAAAGCCUUAUGCUUUAGUUUUAAUAUAUUGUGAAUAACAUUUAACUAGUGUUUUGGUAUAAAUUUAUCAAUUAAUAUAGAGAUUUAGUAAGUUGCAUCCUGCUGGUGCUAAGAUACUUGUGCUGUCGACAUUGAUUAUCUAGUUCUAUAUCAUGCAGAAACAGAAAAACAGUCAUUAUUUGGGAAACAUAGAAGUGGUCCAGCUAUUGUUCGAGUAGUUGAAGAGCUUAUUCCUUCCUUUCCAGAUAGGUAUUUGUUACAUUCUUCAAUAAUGCUUUUAUUUUUCUGAAUAAGCUUUACUCUUUUGCUGUUUUGCAUCUUUGUGUAGUAUGAUUUUUUUGUGACUAAAUUGUGUACUACAUCUUAGAUGCUUAGCAAAUAUAUUAGACGAUGUUAUUAUAUGAGCAUGUAAGUACACACUAAACUAGCCAAAUUUAUGUCGGAGUAUGAAUAACUCUUGUGUUUUGGACACUGUAGUAGCAUGGAAAGACUGAAGGUACUGAUGGGCUUAUGAUAAUGGAACUUGGGCUUUCGCGUAGGCGUAUUCAUUAGUACUGGUUAAUCCGCUAACUCUGUCACUCAAACUAACUCGACCCGCAUAUUAUUAUUAACCCACCCCAUUCAAGUAUAGGUCCAACCUGUUUAAACUCAAAGGUAUUCGGUUUAGAUAAUGGGUUUGAUAUUUUGAACAUGGAAACUCGACAUAUUGAUGUGAAAUAUUUUAUUUUAUUUUUUAUUAUUGAUGUAUAGUUAUAGUUUAAUUUGUUUAAUUGGAUUUAAUGAUUUGUUGUUAAUUUAGUUGUUUUAUAUGUUUAGUUGUGUUUGUGCAUUGUAUUUUAAGUAUUGAAUGAUGUAUUGUAAUAAAAUUUUACGAUUUGGUUUCAUUAGGCCAAAUCUAUAUUGUUAUGAAAGAAGAUUAGCAAGAAACACAAUAAUUCUAUACGGCAGCAUAAUGAUUUUCUGAUUAAUGACCAUAACUAAUUACACUACUUUUCUGUGAGAUUUAAAAAGAAUUGAAUGCAUAAAUGUUUGAAUAACAGAACUCGGGUAAAACCAAAGCUUUGGAAAAAUCACUAUCAACAACUACUUUCAAAGCUAUUUUUUGUAUUCUUUUUCUUUGUAAAAUAUAAGCUAGCACUUAUUUUUGUGACAUUUUUCUAAAAAGUGUUUGGCCUAACUUUUGUUUCAAUGGAGAUAAAAAAAACUUAAAUAAAGCACGGCAAAACAUAUUUAAGUUGAAGUAUUGAAAUUUAAUUUCAAUAAUUUAGAUUAGAAAAAUGAGUUUUUUUUUUUUUUUUGUGAUCUAUGAAUCCAACCCAACACAAUUUGUUUGUGACCAUGUUAGUUUGGUUUGAAUUUGAUGUAAAAAUUGUAGGUUGAGAAUAAAAUGGAACUAUUCAAGUAUUGGAUUUGGUUAAAAUGGAACCAAACCAACCAAUGUACAAAGGUUCAACUAGAGAAGAUUAUUUUGUGGUUUUAGCAUUUUCUUUUUUAUCUAGUUCACCAAAUUGUGAGUUUUUGCAUAUUUCUUUGGAUGGAUAACACUAAAUAAGUAGAUAUGAAACUGCACCAAAAUUUUGCCCAUAAAUAGAGUGUGCAAAUGGUAAACAAGAAGCGGUUAAUUAUUGUUGAGUGUGUUCUUCAUGAUUUAUAGAACAAAUGUAACAUUUAAUAUCAGUAGAAUGUAAUUUAUCACUCUAGAGGACUCAUGUUUCAUUUCAAUCUUGUUGAAAGUUAAGAGAUGUAGCAUUUCUCAUAUAACUUCAAUGGAAUAUGAAAAAAAGAUACAACUUCAAUAGAAUAAAGUCAUAUAGACAAGUAAGUGCCGUAGAAAAAAUUAACACCAUUUUGAUUUUUUUGAAAAAUUGACACCAUAUUGAAAGAAUCACACGUUUUUUGUAUUAAUGCGGGGAAAAUACUGUGCCUUGUUACAAUAAUAAUAACACACAACAAGCUGAAAUAUGUUGCUACAGGCAACAAUACUACAAAUAAAAUAAAGUAAAAAUAAUAAGAAACUAAUACACUUGGAUCUUUGUUAAAAGACCAAGAAAGUUAUUAAUAUUUAAGAAUGGAAGUUAAUUGACUAUUGAAUCUUCUGCUUUAUCUUCAAAUAGUUUCUUUGCAGCUUUAGUGAACAAGUUAUGUGCCUGCCAAAAAGUAAUUACUAAGUUAUAAUUUUGUUCACAUUUUUAAAACUAAACUUUCAAUUAGUACUACUUAUUAUACCUGCUUCAAAGAGAGACCAAUCUUCUCCAAGUCACUUAACUGCAAAACGCCAAAAUCAUUUAAAGCAUCAUGAUGAACUCGUUGUAUUUGUCUUACAAUUUACAAAUUACAGUACUAACCGAUUUUAUUGGACUUUCUUCUCUGAGGUCUAUUAUGUAUUCUGCCAUUUUCUCUCCUAUACCCUGAAGGAAUAAAAUGAUUGAAUCCCAAAAAAUUAUAAAAUGAAGAAAAAAUAUGAUAUGUUCUAAUUUGAGAAAGUGUGUUAUGCUUUCAUUUUUUAACUGUUUAUUAUAAAUUGUAUUGUUGUUUUCACUUUACUUUCUAUUUUCAAAUAUCUCUAUUUUCAAAUAUCUGUUGUAUAAGAGAUAUCUGAAAAUAAGAAGUUGUUUUGUAAUUAAAAGUGAAAACAAAAGAUAAAAAUAGAAAAUAUGUUCUCGAAUCAAAACAAAACCUAAAGAAUGGUUACUAUAUGAUAAAGAGACUAUUCAUGAAUGUACCUUUAACUCUAGUAGUUCCUCUCUGCAUUUAAGAAUUAAACACUGUUAAGGCACCUUAAAAUAAUCUUCACUAAUUAUGCUUUAGAAAUUAGGCAAAAAUACAAAGGGAGAGUGUUUGCUUUACCUGCUUGCAUUAUUUAACAAUUGAAUGUAUUCUUGAACUAGACAUUUCUGCAUAUUAAAAAUAUUGAUUGUGUGAGAAAGAAGAUUUAUAAAGUCCAUUUUGUUAGUGGAAUUCAAACAACUAAUAUGUUUAUUAAAACAAAAAUAAGGUUUAAAUAUUUGUUUACGAUCAAAUUGAUCUCUGUAAUAUGAAAAUCAUUUGUUUUAGUGUCCCUCCAAUAUGAGGUACAUAAGAACUAAAAUGAAUAUUACACAUAUUAUAGAGGCCAAUUUCAAUAUAAACAAAUUUAAACCUAAAAAUAAAACAACUAGAUAUACCUUCAAUGUGGAACUUCUUGUACUGAAUUUGUCAAGUGGAGUGCCAUUUUUCUCAAACCCUUUAUUAGUGGAGCAGGUUGCAGAAAAAGGUGUUGGUGUUAAAGACAAAGCUUCAAGGGGCUUUUUGUUACCAUUGAUGUUGAUGGGGGAGAGGGCUUUUCUUAAUGGACUUUGUAGUACUGCAUCUUUAGAUAGCACAGUUACAUUAGCUUCUAUUAAGCUAUAUAGCACCGACAUUUCCUAUCAUAUCAAAGGUGCAACACGACACAUGUAGUUACAUUAGCUUCUAUCGAGCUAUGUGGCACCAAUGAAUCAGUGUCAUGUCAGUGUUUCAUAGCUACUGAGUAAUAAUCAAUGUGACAUAUCAAAUAUCUAAAACUUCCCUAUUAUAUCGGAAUCUAAAUUGCUUGUGAUCGCAAUACCACACAUUCAUCACAAUCAGUAAAUCAAAGCUAUUGGAUGAAGAUCAAACAAUUCAUAUUUUAAGCUCAUUACAUCUGAAUUUAAAAGCAACUUGAAAUAUGAGUUGUUUGAUCUUUAUCCAACUGUUCCAGUUGACUGGCUAAGGUAAAUGUGAUGUGAUAUUUCAACUGCUAGGAAUCCAUUUGCAUUAUAAUAUCGAAUAAAUGUAAAGUUUAGGAAUCAGUAAUCACAUGAAGUAGUGACAUACCAGAUAGAUUUUUAUCUGAUUCCGAUGCAGCCUCAUGCUCAGUCUCUCUCUCAUCAUUGUGCUUAACACCAGAAUGCAGGUUCUGUAUAGCAUUACAUAUUAAAUAUUAUUAUAUUUAAGAUUUAAGAAAAAUACAAAUAUUUACAAUGCAUGGUGAAAAAUAUAAUAUUCAUAAAGACAAGAACAGUUCCUUGUACUUUUGAUACUGCAUGUCUUUUUCAAUAUUAGUGGCAUAGUACUUGUUAUUAGUGAACUUGUUAGUACAUGUACUUCAAUGGUUAACAUUCACUUACCUCAUCAUCCUUGCAAGAGUCAAAAGCAACUUCACCAUCUAGUAAAUUUCUAAAAUCAACAGCAAGGGCCCUACUUACACAAAAUAAGACAAAUAUCAGUAACAGAAAGUCAAUGAAAAAAAUCAUAUACUCCAUAAUUUUAUAUGCAAGAAUAGGACGUCUAGUUACCUUUCCAUAGUGUGUUGAGCAUCUUGGUUGAUGAAAGUUGUUCCCCCUUUCACUGAAUUGUUGAAAUUAACCGAUCUUUUUGCAAAGGGAAUGAUGGAACUAGGAGUUUUUUUCACAAGUGGAGAAUUAAAUACUCCAAGUCUUUGUGAGCUCUUUGUCUUGCCUUUUGAUUCUAGCCAUGCUCUCAAUUUUGCUUCCAUGUCAACUUUAACUUUUGGAGUCUCUUGUUUAUGAGCUGAAGGUACAAAAUUAGAGAUGUGCCGUGAUCUAGCAGCCAAACUAACAGUAUGAACAGAUUCCUGGUAUUCUCCUGGAUUCUGAAAUCAAACAAAAAGGGCUGCAAUUAAACACUUGUUGAGAGUCUCAUAUCAGCUAGAGCUAUGACAAGGAUAAUGCUCAUACGCCUUGAACAUCCCCGCUUUGUAAGUUGGUUUUACGAAAUUGAAGUAGGCCCUAAUUCCAAAUUCUAAGAUAUGGAAUCAUAGUAUAUCAAGAUCAGUUAUUGGAUCUAGAUAUUUGCUAUUCCACCUACAUUUGUCCACUUCUAAGUCUAAUGCGGGUGGAAUAGCAAAAAUCUCAACACUAAUCAUAAUUAAUUAAUAGGUGAAGUAAACUAAGAUGCAAUUUUCUUGCUCACUCCAAUGGUUAAACACUAAUCAUUCUUGUUAUUAUGUAUUUCCGAUCAAGUGGACCAACAUUAAAUGUGAAGAAAAGAACUAUAAAAUCUCUAGUUAUACCAGGCAAGCAACCAUAAGUGCGCGACUAGUUCCUCCUAGAGAGUCCUGCAAUAUUCGGGUCAAUUUGCUUUCUCUAUAGGGCACUCUUGGUUUGUGGUUGUUCAAUGCAUAUAUCACAUUUGACAGUGCAAACAAGGACUGGUUUAUCUUGGCACUCUCUUGAAGACGAAUCCCUUCACUGCAGCUCCUUCUGUUGUCUUCAUUACCUGCAUCAACUUUCAACACAUUAGUAUAAAUAACCAUAAGUGCUCGCAAUACAUCAAGGUCUGUUUGGGUUGACUUAUUUGCAUAAGGUCUUGUACAACUUAUUUGGACGAGCUUAAUGAAACAACUUAUGAUAUGUCCAUAAGCUAUAUAUAGCUUGUUUUCAAAUUCUUCGGAAUAGCUUAUGAAAAUAACUUAUAGCUUAUAUGAAAAAAAAUUAACUUAAUUUUAAUAUUUUGUUAUAGAAAUAGCUUAUACAUCAGCAUUUAUAUGAUAAGUGCUUGUGUAAUAAGCGUUUGAUUAACUUAUUUAUCCAAACAGACCGCAAAUCCAUGACCCCAAUUGAGUUUGGAAGGUUACCUGCCAAGUCUAUGAGAUUCAACUUUCCACAUACAUGACUUCCAGUUCCAUCAGAAGGAUUGGAUACUACAGAUAUUACAAGCACUCCAUGACUCCUACUCGAUACAUCGUUGAGGCUUGUGUGUGCAACUUUGCGCCUCUGAACACCACUAGAAAAAACCUCUUGAAAUUCAGACAUUGUGUUUAUAGGAACCUUAGAUAGUCCCUUGAGGUGAAUUUGACCGUCUUUGUCAUCCAAAAUUGAAAUCUCCUUUGCUUUUACCUCUAAGAGAUCAUAACAUCGGUCCAUGUAGACCUCAUAGUAUGAAAUAUGUGCUGUGCUGCCUGUAGUUUGACAAAUGGACAGGAUCAUCGACAUUGCCAGUGGCAUUAAGCCAGGUUGUUCCUCAGUUCCCUGCAACACCAAGCAUUGGUUACUUAAACUACACAACACAAAAAAGGUAAGAAACUUACUAAAACAAUUAAACUGGUACACAAAAAUUAUCAACCAAGCCAAAGCAAUAGCACUAUGUGAAUGGCCAACCAAAUAUACAAUGUCUUCCGCAUUUAAAUUCCGAAACAGCAAUAGAAUUAGGACACCAUCACUUUCAGCUGCUAUGUACAGAAUUCAGCGCUCCAUUGUUUUCUCAAACAUGGUCUAGUGUAUUCCCAAGCACUCCAAUGGCGCUAUACACCAUUGAUCAAAAACACAAUUAAACCCCUUGAUUUUGGCCUUUAACCGGCUCCAAACCUAUAACUUUAUGUUCUCCACCACAUGAAAAAUAUUGUCGAAACAAUUUUGCAUUUCUUAACUUCCAACCAAACCUCCCAAACAGUUGCAAACCAGAGAAAUGAAAACCUUUAUUCAUUCAACCUCCAAGAAUUCAAAAUGGUGGAAUGGCAUGGCUAAAUUUUGGACAACCAACAUAGACAGUUUGUGAAGGAAUGUCCACCAUGGCAGCACGGUGCCAUAGGCCACUGGUGUGUUUAAAUGGCAGAUUUUUGUCCUUUCACUAAUUUUUCUGCGAACGACAACUAAUCCUCAUUUUUGCUAGUAUGAGUCAAGCUUUACUAUCUCCUUCGUCCCUACAUAUAAGACUUUCUUGAGAAAUUUCUUUGUCCCUUCUUAUAACAUCCUCUUUUAAUUUUCAACUACAUUAAUUACUCUUUUUACUAAUCUACCCCUAAUUAAUUUACAUAUUUUUCUGCAAUUAACAAUAAAUACCACAAUGAAAGCAUUGAUUAAUUCUCUCUCUUGAAGGGUAAAUUUGUAAAAACAAUAUCAAUCGUUGACAAAUGUAAUACUAUCAUCAACUUUCUUAAUUCUCGAGAUUUGAUCAAUGGCUCCUACCAGAGGUAGUAUUACACUAGAUGAGAUUCAAUUUAUGAAUGGUGACAUAGUUCCCUAUCCUACAACAUAUAUUAAGUGCAAAAAUGAGUCGUUUACCUCUAAAUCCCUCUUAAAAAGGUAGAGUAUUCAAAGAUAACAAUAAUCUAUGUCAUUGUUAAACAUGAAAAAGUGUAUUAUUCCUCACCACCCUCUAAACUCACAUUCACAACCAGAUACUACAAAUUUGAUCAAUCUAAUUGUGGAUUCACAUUGCUGAACCCUCACAUAACCACAUACUCCCUCCGGAAUGAAAUAUAAACAAAAAUGAUAACUGAAAACUUGAUGUAUCUAUUUCAUUCUAGAGGGAGUAAUUCAACUUUUCGGUAAACAUUAUUGUAUAUAUUUCAUUCUAGAGUAAUUGUUUCUUGCUAGGAGCUAACUCAGAAAAAUAUUAUCAGGAACAUAUAAAAAGAUUAACAUUUUACAAAAGAAUAGCAUAGAGAUCACAGUUUCUGACCUGCAUAGUGUAUGUCUUGCCACUACCAGUAGCCCCAUAAGCAAAAACUGUAGCAUUGCAGCCACUGAAGAUAACAGGUAUCAUAGGGUUUACUUCUCUGUAAAAUAUCUUACUCACAUUGUUGUCUUCUUUAUCAAAGAAAGAGUCCAAUUGAUAACACUCGUUACGACUAAGAUAACAAAAAAAACCAUCAUCAAAACCAAUUUCAAAGACUCUACUAAUCAUUCAAAAUAAUAAUAAAAAAGUGAAAUUUUUUUAAACCUGGUUUGUGGGUCUUUGAGAUAAACCGCUACUUCUUGAUGUUGAGAUUCAAAAUCUUGAUCCAAAAGUGAAAUACAAGAAACUGGGUCGCCAUUAUCGUGACCAAGAAAGGGUCUUACCCUAACUAUGACUCUUACUUUUGAAACUGAAAUGGAAUUGUUAAAGAGUUUGUUUUCGGUUUUUGGAGAAGCAGCCAUUGAUAGAAGAAAGUUUGGAUUUGUAAGACAGGUUGACGAGAAUUGUAUAAGAUUUGUGAAAUUGAGAUUGAAUAGAGGUUUUUGAAAGCACGUGACCGUUGGUUUUGCUUUGGAUUGAGAGGCACUUUUGGUUUGAAUUUGGGUACGUGAGCUAUAUGCUAUCGACAUGGCACCUUAAAGGGACCCACAAAUUUAUGAAAAGUGAAAAUAUUCUAUUGGUCAACUAUUUUUAACGUUUUAUUUUAUUUUUUAUUUUUUUGGUAAUCCUGUCUUAAUAUAGAAUGAAAUUUUGUCUUUAAAAUACUAAUACAAAUCAAAUACAUCAAAGAUAAUAUAAAUAAAUCAUUUUCAAUAUAAAGGUUACCUCUUUUAUUUUCUUAAAUAAUGUGUUAAAAGUUCUAGUCACUGCUUUUUAUUUUACGUAUAAAAUAUUCUCCAAAUAAAAUGGCAUAAUAUAGUAUGAUACCACAUUUGUUUAAUUAGACAUUUGUAUUUUGGCAAGAAAUGUAGAAAUAAAAGUUAAAACCCAUUAGAACAUACACCACAACAAUUAUGGGAUUUGUGAAGGCUGAUUGUGGGUCGUAUAUAAUUAAAACAUUUAUUUAUAUAUGACAUAUUAAUUAUUAAUUGAAGUAAAAAACUACACUGUUGAAUCAUUGAAAUUAGAAUAUUAAAGUCAUAGUUUUUCUAAUUAGUUAAGAUUGAUCCGUUGAAUCAUUGAAAUUAGAAAUUUGUAACUCAUAAGUAGUCUAAUUAGGUUAAAAUGAAGAGUUGAAUUUUUAAAAUUAGAACUUCUAAAUCAUGUUUAGUCUAAAUAAAUAAGAUUGAAUCGUUGGAUCAUCGAAAUUUAAAUUUCUAUGUUAUAAUCAAUCUAAUUAGUUAAGAUUUAACUAUUGGGUUAAGAAAAUUUAAAAUCUUAAGUCAUAGUCAAUCUAAUUAGUGAAACUUGACUCGUAGGAUCAUCGAAUUUAAACUAAAUAUAAUUUAAAAAUUCUAUUUUCGAUGAAAUGUCAAUUCAACCUUCAAUAAUUUGAGAGGAGAAUUGUAACACCCCAACUUUUAUAAUAAACUAUUUUAUUAAUUAAAUAUUAUUUUAGAUAAUUAAUCUGAUGUUAAAAUUAUUUUAGAUAUACGUUGAUUAGUUUUAUGAUUCAUUUUUUUUAUAUGUGUGUUUUCUAUAACGUAUUAAUCUGUACAUAUUUGACUAUAUGAGUGAUAUAAAUAAUAAAUAUUUUAUUUUAUUAUUUUAUUAUUUUAUAUAUUUUUCUAAAAUUGAUAGUAUUUUAGUGUAAAUAUUUUAAAGAAUAACAUGUUAGACAAUUUUACGUGUAUAUGUGAGUUGGUAAUUAAUGUGAUAUUUUCUUAUAUGUUUAACUAAUGUUAAGUGUGCACAUAUUUAUAUUUUAUAUACGUGUUAUGACAUUGUAAUUUUAUAUAUACUACAAAAAAAUUGACUUAACGUGACACACAAAAUGUGUCACUAAAAGUUUAAAAUUGUAGGUAAAAAUCAAUAAUACUUUGAGUGACACUCAAAUCCAGUGUCAACUUUAAGGGGUGCCCUGCUACACUUUUAGGACUGUCACUACAUGUUCUGAGGAUUGUCACUACAUGUUUUUUAUUUCUAUCUACAACAAUGAUUGUCACUAAAACCUAGAUAAAUAUAAAUAAAGAAUUAGUCUAUUCCUACAGUAUUAUCUGUCACUAAAACUUAGAAAAAUAUAAAUAAAAAAUUAACCUAUUCCUAUAGUAUGUGUGUCACUAAACCUUAUUAUUAUUUAUUUUAUUUUAUCUCCUUACUAAUUGUAAUUUUACACUGAUAUAAGUCAAAACUUAUCACAUUACCAGAUAUACUCUCAAGUUGAAAAGCAAAUAAUGCAUACAAAUGUGUAUAACUAUAAAAUUAAGAAAAUAAUAACAAGUAUUUUUAGAGCACUUGUUAAAUAAUAAUAAAAAGAAAUAUAAAUAAAAAUUGUGCCUUCAAUACCUUGAAAAUAAAAAAAGUAGUAUUUUUUUACCAAAAAAAAAAACUAUUUUCUUUUUUUAUUCCUUAACAAAUAUCAGUACCAUGACAUAAAGUUAUUGGUGGGUAUAAGAAAAUAAAAACUGCAUCAAGUAAACCUAUAAUUGAAUUCAAAAUGAUAAGCAUGCUUCACUUUUAGAUGCCCAAACUGAAUUAGUUUUAGUCAGAACCAAAUGAUACAUUUCAAGCAAUAUCUUAAGCUGGCAUUAAAGACCUCUAAAAUUAAUACCUGCCAUGGCUUGCCAAACUCAUCCAAAGCUUCCCUGAGCUCAUUUUUAGCCUUCUCCCACAUUACAAGAUCUUUAAAGAUUUUCUCUGGCCUCUACUCAAGUAUUUAACACAAGCAAGGAUAAAUAAAUAACUGAGCCAUUAAAUAGAUUAUAGCUAUUGCUAUUGGCAAUAUGUAUGUCUGUAUCAUAUACCAAAAGAGAAGAAAAUAACAAGAGCAGAAGCUACCAAGCUUAGACAAUGGUCAAUAUUCCCUAAACUAUUCAAUACUUCCAAGUGAUGGACAUUGAGAACAAUAAAGAGUAAAAGCAUAUUGUUGAAAGUUUCACUUCAUAUGUGAAACCAAAUAUUUGAUAGACAUAAUUCAUGAAGUUCAAGGCUUUUAUGACUUCAUCUUUUAUCUAUAAAAUGAAGUGAAACAAUAAUUUCAGCUUCAGCUCAGAAGAUAUUUUAAAGAUUUAUAUCACAUAAAUUUACGUUUAACACACCUGGGACUUCCUACAGAAAAUAUGUGCAUCGUCCUGUCAAACACACAAAAUAAAGGUCAUAAAUAAUAUAGAACUUCUAAUAUUAUAGAAAAUAGAAAUUAAGGAAGGCGAUAAUCAAGUCACUAGCUUGCAAUGCUCCUCGUGGUGUAAUUGUACCACACCUUUAGAAAAAUUGAUAAUUAAUCCAUGUCAUUUUACUUUUGUAUAAGUGAACAUUCAUCGAGGAACUCCAUAAUUUACAAUAGAAGCCAAAAUGGCAAUGUAACCAAGAUCAAACAAAGAAAACAGAUCCCAUUCCACAGUCCCACCAAAACUUAUAUUGUGUUGUUCAUAUAUAUAGCACAAGAGAAAGGUUUACCUGUUGAAAUCUCCUAGUAUGUGUUAAUCCAUGCAGGGAAGCAAUGGCCUCAUUCCGAUGCAAAACGCCAAAAUCAGCGAAGCGAAGAGGAAGUUCUGUAAAGCAAUAAAAAUAUUAUGAGAUAACAUUUCGGGUGAAAAUAUCCAUUGAUAUAUCUUCAGAUUAUACACUCACUCACAAAAUGGAAACUAAAGUAUCUCUACCUCUCAUAUGUUAGGAACCCCAUAAUUGAAUUGAAAAGAAUGAACAAUUAUAUUGAAAGAUUGAGAAAGGAUAAAAGAGAAUAGGAGAGAAAUCUCUCCUCUGAGAGUUUUCUCUUAACAAUAGAGUCAAUACUCUAUUCACAAAUGAUUACAAUAUUCAAUGAUACCCCUCUCUAUCAUUGUAUUCUCCUAUAAAUACAAAUACUUCCCAGACUAAACAAACAACUAACUAACGAACUACCUUCCUAACUAAUUCUCCCUAUUCAACUUGGGAUAUAGAUGAUCGAGUUCUAUAUGCCAAAAUGAAANNNNNNNNNNNNNNNNNNNNNNNNNNNNNNNNNNNNNNNNNUAUUCACAAAUGAUUACAAUAUUCAAUGAUACCCCUCUCUAUCAUUGUAUUCUCCUAUAAAUACAAAUACUUCCCAGACUAAACAAACAACUAACUAACGAACUACCUUCCUAACUAAUUCUCCCUAUUCAACUUGGGAUAUAGAUGAUCGAGUUCUAUAUGCCAAAAUGAAACUAUGUGGAAAAAGUACAGCUUAUAAAGAAAGCAAAAAGAAAGACGAAGCCAUUUAAAAUCACACUAUACAGGCAUUGUUCAAUGUAGACAUUUAAAAUCAAAUUAAUUGUCAAUACAUUGACCAAAAAGCUCAAACAGGUGCAUUAUCCCGAUUUCAACAACAAACUAUGAACUAGCUCAGCCACCCCAAGUACAAACAAAUACAAAAGGUACCAUUUGAAGAAAUAUGUCUAUGCCAAUGAAAAUUACCUCUGUACGAUCGAACCCUGUGCUAAACAUCAAGCAGUGCCCUGGGCAAUUCAUUGGUUUCAAACCAAACUCCUGUUUGUCAAUCUAAAACAUACGAAUAUAUAUAUAUAUAAUUUGGUUAGAUAACUUGAUUGCGUUUAAAAUAAAAAAACCUAUUCUGAAGGUUUUGUACCGCUAAGACCAUAUACAAACAACAACAAAAUACCUCUAAGACAAACAUAUCCUCUUUAUGAUGUUUUGCAUGACCAGAUUGCAUCCACAGAUCCAUGUUGAAUACAUUUGGGGACAUAACCUGGUAAUUUCAAGCAAGUUGUACUAAGCACUUGGAAAAAGAUUGUUUUUAGUAAUAUCAAGAAACUUCUAUACUGAAACUUUACCUCUUGAUAGCCCCUAUCCUUGUAUUGAUUUCAAAUGAAGUCCAUGAGUUAGUUGUAGAUCCGAGCAUCAAGUGGAAGAAAAAACCAGCUUCCUGGGAUGACAUAAACAGGACAGACCAAGAGAUAGACAUUAAGAACGGCUUACUAAAUUCUGCAAUCAGACAAGAAUGAACCCACCACUGUACCUACACUCAUGAUGAAUAAUAAGUUCAAAAUUGUAAAAUAUUCCCAAAAAAUUCUAGAAAGUGGCUGUCGAAGAGCAUGACAGAUUUCUCUGUUAUCCUUAGUGUAUAACCUAAAGCCCAUAUCAGUAUUAUUUUUAAACAUGUAAAACAAAAAUUUAAUAACUAAUAGAUUCCUAGUUUAAUCAAGUCAUCACACCACUUGCUUAAUUCACAAUUUAAUUAAGUCUCUAGACAUAGGAUUACCUAGUACACAUUUCACUUGCAUCUUUAUACUAUAAUUCACACCAAUUAAUAAAGAUAAAUAGAAAAACCAGCAAUACUGUAUGCAAUAAAUUCACAAUAUAACUAGUAGGAAACUUCUAACUCAAUAAUAGCACAAAAGCAUCUUGAUUGAGCUAACAAUUCAAAUACGACAGAAAAUAUAAAUAAUCAAAUAGUAUCAAAAUUAUAGGAUCCAACCUCAGGUGCCAGAUAGCAGAGUCUUAUGUAACCCAUGUCAAAGAAAAGAGAGAAAUCAGAUGGGACAUCAUACGGAAUGUAAGUGGGUUUGAAAGAGGCAAAGUCAACAAGGUAAAGCUAUUUUGAUGACGUAAUUAGCACAUUUUCACACUUGAUAUCGCCUACAAAAAAUAAUGCAAAAAUUUACAUAAAUAACAUCAACGAAAUGCCAAUCAACCCAUGAUAUGAGAAAAUACCAUCAGCAACUAAUAGAUCAUUCUCCAUUAUAUUAUCUCUUCUCUAAUUGUGCAUGUCUUUUAAAGCUUACGUAUCAAUCAAAUUAAGACUUACCAUGACACACUCCCUUCUCAUGGCUAUGUUUUACAGCUAAAAGCAAUUGUGUAAAAGCCCAAACUAAAUAAAAAAGUCAAUAAAAAUACAAAACUUCCAUAUGCAAAAAAAAAAAAAAAAAUGAAGUAGUAAAGUGAAUAAGACCUGAAAAGCCAAUCAUUUCUUCUAAACGAAACUAAGAAAAGGCCGAGUACUUAAUCGAUCAUGCAAAUUAUGGAAGAAAAGGUUCUAUGAAGAUAAGUUGCUUUAUUUGUUUUUUGCCAAAACUGCAAAAUCACAUGCACAACCACAUGAGCAAUUUAAAGUAGAUGAAAAAAACAAUAAAAUCUAAAUAAAAUAAAAAUAGAGAGCAGAUCAUCAUAGAACCUUUUCAGUAACCAAAUAUAGUAAUCGUAUAUUCCCGCAAACUAUAUAGAACAUCAUGUCUUUCGAAUUACCACGAGAAUAUAAACUACAUAGAACCACAUUUGCAUAAAUAAACAUGUAUGUAAUAUAUCUACUUUAUAAUUUUUCUUUUGGUAAAGUAUAGGUACCUUGUAAAAAAAAUCAUGUGAAUCCAACAAAUCCCGAAAAAAUCGCAAAAAGUGAGGCUUCUUAUAAGGUCUAUGUUCUAGAGAAUUCACUUCUGUCCAACUUACAUAUUUGUGCAAUGUGCUAUGGUGCUGCUACAUGACACAAUUAAUAACCAGAUCAAACAAAUUUGAGCUUAUCCAAAGUUAUCCAAUCAUCUCGACAUAUUCAGUUCCACAAUACUAGACUCUUGUCUCAGACAUAAAUAACCAUAAAGGCAACAGCUGAAUUCUCCCCUCAGUUUAAUUUUAGAAGGUUUCAAUUUUGACUUCCAUUGUAUAACUCCUUGACAUUAUCAAUUAGAUUAUGCUAUCAAGUUCCUAAUUAAAUAAUAAACAGAGUAUUAAAUUUUAUAAUUAUUUAAAGAAAGUAUUUGUGUUGACCACAUUUAAAAGCAGUGCUUUAUACUUUUGUUUCCUUAACCAAUACUUCAAAGGCACUCUUUAGCAAAUCUCAAAAUCAAUUUUUUUCUAUAUUGACAAUGAGAUUUGAACCAAUGACAUCAUGCAAACUACUGAAACUUUUUCGCCACUAGCUCAAUUCUUGUUUGAUCAUGUUAAUUUACUAUCAUGCAUUUCUGCAUCAUUAAAAAAAAUUGACUAUCAAAACACAGUCUAGGAAAAUCCUACUCAGUUGGUGAAUUAAGGAACACGGAAAGAGUUGUAACUAAAAGUUCAAACACCAAAAACUAACAUAACUACUAACUUACAUUUACCUAUCAAAAACAAUAUUCUUUUAAUGAUGUGCAAACAUAUGAUUUGAGGUUAAUUGAAGAUUACAAUUUGAACACUUCAUAAAUAAAAUGCCAGCCAAAUAAAGAACCGAGUGAUAGCUAGGAAAAAUCCGUGUGAUUUGUUUGAUCAUAACUAAUAUAAAGUGUGAUUUCUUUUAUAGUUUCAACUAUUCUCUAAUGAUAGUAAAUUUUAAUUUGAGUAUUUUGAAAAAUAAGUGUUAUUAUAGUGAUAAUUUUGAAUAUAAGAGUUUUGAUUAUGAAUAUAUUUUAUAAGAUUAAUUACUUUAUUUUAUAAAGUAUUAGUUUUGAAAUACUAAUAAUUAAAUUGUGUUUAAAAAAAAAGUGUUAAAAAAUAAAUGUGUUUCAUGGUUUAAGCACAUAUGCAAGUAAAAUCUAAUUAAAUAAUAACAAUAAUAAUAAUAAUAAUAAGGCUAAAUUACAUAUGUGGUCCCUUAACUUAAUUUCAGGUAACGUAUUAGUCCUUUAUCUUUUUUUUUUCCCGACUUGGUCCUUUAUUUUAAUUUUAAGUGAUAAUUUGAUAUUUUAUGUUUUAAAAUUUCAACAAUGUUAUCCUUUUUUUAUACAAAAUUCAAAAAAAAAUUCAAACAAAACUCAUAAAAUUAAUUAUAUUCUUCAAUAUAAUACAAAUUUCAUCAAAUUCGUAAUGCAAAUCUUCAAAUAAACUCAUAUUUUCAUACUUUAUUUGAUAUUGUUAGGAAUAAAGGACUAAAUCGUGGAAAAAAAAGAUAAAGGACUAAAACGUUAACUGAAAUUAAGUUAAGGGACCACAGAUGAUAUUUAGCCUAAUAAUAAUAAGGAAGGAUAGUGGAGGAGUGUAGCAGCCGCCUAAAGAAGAGGAAACAUAGACUAUGACUAUCGUUUGACAUCAAUGAUGAUAAUUGUUCCAAACAUCUUUCUCUAUUUUUGUCCAAAUUCCAGUAAAUUGAUUCACUUAUUUAGUUAAUCAAUUAAACAUACUUUUCCAAAUUUUCAACCAUCUCAAUUUCUCUCUAAAAUACUCGAUUUUUCCGUAUGUGGAAUUCGUUAUUUUGCACUGUUCUUCUUCACUAUAAGUCCGAUUUAAGUGAAAUCAACGUCAAAACGAACAUGUGAAAAGUGGCUAUAUUAUUCACCGAUUGAUUUUCUGAUUUAUGGUAAGUUUACUUGACCGAAUUUCGAAAUUAGUUUUUAGAGUGUCUUCUCAUGAUUUAUUUUUGACAUUUACCCAUAAGUUGUCGAGUUAGAUCGAUUGAAUGACAAAGAGUCAAAGAACAAAGGUUGUUUACUCGUUGAAUGUAUUCGUGUGUGAAAGUGUUAAAAUAAGGUAAGGGAUGAGAGAGCGUUUAAAUUCAUGAGUAUAUUUUAAUGUUAAAUGAAUAGAAAAGUCGUAUUUCUCAACGUUUCAUCUGAAGCUUGCUACGUACGACAUUAGCCUUUGAAGGAUAAAUUAAUUAAUGUGAAAAUAUGAAAACUGUGAGAUUAAAAUGUGGAAUAGAAAUAUUUAUAAGGUGUUGAUUGAUUUAAUUUUAGAUAAUUGUGUGGUAUUUAAUAUUUGAUAUUAUUGUAAUGUUGGAUGUCGAAUGAGAUGAUGUGCAUAUGUUUGAUUAGACAAAAUUAUGUGAUGUGAUGAUAAAAGAUGGAUGCAUUGGAUGAUAUAUAUUUAUAUGAUGAUUUUUGAUUGACGAUAGUGAUGUUAUAAAUUGGUGAUGAGUUUAUAUGAUGAUCAUGAUUAUGUAUGAUCAAUGAUGUUAUAAAAUUGUAAUGAGAAUAUUGAAGUACCAAAUAACUGAUGAAAUAGUGAUGAUUACAACAUGUGCUAAAGAUGUCACUCUUAAUGGAAUAGUCUAGGCUAACGAGAGGAGAAAAUAGAUGUUGGGAAUAUUUGAAGUUGAUGUGAAAUUUUCAAGUGGAUACUAUUUUGUCAUCAUAUAGGUAGGGUCUGACAAAUCUAGUGAUUAUGGGGAAGUACAAUUGAAUGGGUUUGAUCAUGGCAGUUUGCUAUUGAGCCUUAAGAAAGCAUUGUUAGACCUUGGAGGUAUUCGGGUGGGAAAUUCCUAGGUGACUUGGAAGUAGCACUCCAAAUGUCGGGAACUACCAUGCAACACACGUUUAUCUUAAUUGUCGCGCAUAUGUGUCUCAGGUUGAGUUAAGGGGAUCUAUGAGGACAUAGUCAAUUUGAAUUGUUCGUCCACCCGAGUGGUUGCAUAGUAUCAAUCCUCCUAACCAAGUACUUCAGAGAUAGAAUUGUACCACAUUGUGAAGUAGAGUUUAAGCUCAUGCAUGACAUUGCAUUUCCUUGUGAUUGUUUUGUUGUGAUUGAUGUGUUUCAAAAGUAAUAAUAGUUUCUCUUAGAUGAUUUGAUGCAUAUUAUAAUGAAAUGAUUAUUUUACUUGAGUGACUUUGAUGUUAUAAUAUGGUACUAUUUGAUUGAAUAUUUUGAUAUAUCUUAAUGUGAUUAUGAUACAGUCUAUUAUGAUUUUUGCGUGCUCUUUAUACUUAUAUUAUACUAUUAACAUGAUUUCAAAACUCACCUCAUUCGUUGUUUGUGUUUGACUGACUUGGCUCUGUGUUUGCAAAAUCUCAGUUGUUACAAGUUAAUGAGUCUUUAAGUUCAAGUUUGGGAGAAAUCCUGCUAUGAUAGGUGAUAUCGAGAAUAAAUAUUGUAAUUUGUAUUUUACUUAUUUAAUUUGAAACGACUUUUUGUAUGUAAAUUUUAUAAGUACUAAUAAGUUUUUAGAAUUAAAUUAAGUAAUUAUACCAAAAUCAAGCUUAUUAAGAUUGCACUAUUUUAUAGGAGAAAAAAGUUUAAAGUGUUGCGAUUUUAUUUUGAGAAAUGUGAUAUUCUAAAUUAUCCACAAAAGUUUCAUUUUCCUUUGGAAGAAUUUUUAUUUAUCAGAUUCAAUAUUUUAUAAAGAUAUGGUAGAAAUUAUUAUAUAUAUUAUUUUGGAAUUUUUAUUUUUCAACUGAGUCCGACUGAACCCAAACCAAUGUCCACUCCUAUAAGUAGCAAUAAACAUUCAGAGAAAAACAAUGGUUUAAAAAUCAAACAGGAGAUAAAACUGGUGACAUUGUCAGAUCAUUGGUCUAAUUGGUUUACGCAGUUGAACCAUAAUUGAACUGAAUAAUAAAUAAAAUAAUAAAUAUUACCAUAAUUGAACUGAAUAAUAAAUAAAAUAAUAAAUAUUGUGUUAAAUUUCAUAAAAAGUUAAUGCAAUAUUUUCAUUUUUUUAAAAGAAAUAAAUUUUGUAUUUUAUUGUUUAAUAAAAUGCUAUUAUUGCUUAUAUAAAUUUAUUUAAUAUUUUUUUCACCUGUUAUUUUGGUAUCAAAUACUAUCUGUAUGUGACCAUGAUUCACCUAUUAUUUUAAUAUCUUAUUAGUUACUUUAACUAUAAAUUAAAAUUUAAAAAAUAUGACGGUUUAAUAUUAAUAAAUUAGAUUAAUUAUAACUUAGAAAUUAUAAUUUCAACUAUCCAACGAUUCAAUCUUUACUAAUUAGACUUGUAAACAUGUUUUUGAUGAUGACAAGACCACCAACUAUGGACAAUGCAGCAAGAUCAAAAAGAAGAUCAAACCAUCUUGAAUAAGCUUCCAAAUCCAAAUAAUAAAUGAGUAAAUGUAAAGGUAUAUGAUACAAAUCAAUAGUUCAAAUACUUGAGAACAAUUCAUAUUUAUAUAUGCAUUUAACAUGUUUUCAAAAAUCAAAAACAACAUUAACAAAUCAUUUAAAAUCAUAUUUUUGACAAUUUGCAUAAGUGUAUUCGAAUACACCAUGUUGUAUUCGAAUACAACUUAAGUCAGAAGCAAAACGUUAAAAAGUGUAUUCGACUACACACAUCUGUAGUCGACUACAAGCUAAGUUAGUGGCCAAGUGUAUUCGACUACACCCAUAUGUAGUCGAAUACAAGUUAAGUCAGAGGCUAAAAUACAUUGAUCUGUAUUCGACUACACUGAUGUGUAUUCGAAUACAAGAUGUAAAAUUUGAAUUUUUUGAACGUUACAAAGACGUGUAUUCGAAUACACAUAUACUGUAUUCGAAUACACCUGGAAACAUUACAAUUUUUCAGAUCUGGAAUGCCUCUAGAACAUUGUAAUUUUUCAUCAAACCUUUUGGAUCAAUGGCCACGAAUCUGAAAGGAUGUUUUAUGGAGUAUAAAUACCCAAUAACUUCAGAUCAAAAAUCAACCAUCCUUGAAUUUUUUCAUUAAACAACUUUGAACAAAAUUCUGAUUUUUCUAAGUACUUGCAUUAGAUUUUCAUAUCAUUAGUUCUCAAGUACUUGAAUUACUAUUGAGUUGUUUAUCAAUAUACCACAUCUUAAAUUUAUUCAAACCUUAUUGUAUCAUUUGUACAAGUAAGAUAGUAGUGUGCUAUCUUAGAAGUAUUGUUAGAAAUGUUGUAGCACGAAUCCCAGGGUGGGAAUUGUACAUUUUCUGACAAGUAUUGGAUUAAUCUCUUGUGGUGUGCAAGAGGAUUGGACGUACCCUUGGUUAUAAGGGGAACCAGGAUAAAUCUUAACGUGUUCAUUUACUUACUGCAAUUUUUCAUUAAGCCUUGUUCUUAAACUCAGAAAAUCUGAUUACCAUAUCACUAAAAACAAGAAAAUUUACUAACACCUAAUUCACCCGCCCUCUUAGGCGUACUUUCAUACUUACAAGACUGAUUAUAACUUAUAAAUUAAAAUUUUGACUAUCAAACGACGGUUCAAUUUUAACUAAUUAGACAAAUUAUGACUAUAAAAUUUUAAUUUUGACCAUCAUACCACUCAAACUUAAUUAAUUAUACAAACUAUAACUUUGAAAUUAUUAUUUAUAUGAAUUAACCUAUUUAAAUUGAUAGAGCUUUCCAUAUGUGUAAUUUAGGGUGAAAUUGAUUUUAGUCCUCGUAUUCUAAUUCAAAGUUCUGAAUUUGGAUUUAUAUCUAGCUCUGUUUUUAAAUAAAUAAAUGGAUAUUUUAUUUUUUAUUUGUAUUUUAAAAAUAAUUUUAAUUAUAUCAAAAUUUAUGUGGAUUAAAAAGAUAUUACACACUCCCAAAUUAGCAUGACAUUUCAUUAAAUUUAGAUUUUCAAAAUUCCCUUAAGGAUUAAAAAUGAAGAAUCUAAAUUGACGAGGGUAAAAUCUAAAAAAAAAUAAAUUUUGACUAAAAGCAUUAUUAACUAUUUAAAUUCUAACGAUCAGUUCAAUAUUAACUAAUUAAACUAAAUAUAACUCAUAAAUUUUAUUUUUUUAAUUUUAAUUAUCUAACGACUUAAUCUAACUAUAAUUAGACUAACUAAUUAAAUUAACUAUAACUUGGAGUUAAACCCAUUAAAAAUCAUAACGCCUAAUCAUGCAUUAUAAUAUAGGAAGAGAUUAUUAAAAUAUUGAACAUGUCCCAAUUUUAAGUACUUCUCUCAUAAAGUUGAAAAUGUUAAAAAGUAGUAUUAGUGUUUAAGGUAAAUAGCAUUUAAAGUAUACUAGUAUUAACUUUGCAAGCUUUAAUCAAUUUCUAAGAAGAUGUGUAACUAACAACCAAUUUCUCUCCUUUAGUAUCUUUUAAUUAAUUUUAACAAUAACUUUCAUUUUCCUUCUAGUAUCAUUUUUUACACCAUAUUUGUCUUCUUCAUUUUAUAAUAUUAUGUAUUAUCUACCUCAUUUUCUAGUUUUUUUUUUAAUCUCACGUUUUAACUUUAAAAAAUUCCAUCAACUAAAGGGAAACUAAAUUCAUGGUAAAUUAAUAUAACCAACGCAGAGAAGAGUAAAGAGGUCGAAAGAUAAAGCCACUGCAGGCUGACCACUCCAAGGCGGUACAUAAAUAGGUGUUUUAGUGUCGAUCGGUCUUAGAGGUUAUGCAAUAAGGUGAGAGAGAGACUACAAGAGAGACAAGUGAUGAACUGAAUAAGUAGCAAUAAACAUUCAAAGAAAAAUAAUGUUUUAAAAAUCAAACAGGAGAUCAAAUUUGUGACAUUGUCGAGUCAUGGUCCAAUUGGUUUAAACGGUUGAACCACAGUUGAACUGAAUAAUAAAUAAAAUAAUAAUUAUUGUGUUAAAUUCAUAAAUAGUUAAUGUAAUGUUUUUUUUAAGAAUUAAUUUUGCACUUUAUUGCUUGUAUAAAUUUAUUUAAUAGUUUUUUCACAUAUUAUUUUGAUAUAAAAUACUAUUUGUAUGUAUUAUUGUAUGUGACAUGAUUUAUGAAUGACUUUUUUUUGUUAAAAUAAGUUAUGGUGAGACAUGAUGUAAAAAACAAAUGUGAGACCUUUAUUUAUUUAUUUAUUUAUUUAUUUAUUUAUUUUUCUUCUCGUUUUUUAGAGAUGCUUUUUUUUCAACCUUUUUUUAAUAGCUUAUUGAAUAAGUAUACGGGUCAAGCCAACUGGAACAACCCUAAAUAUCUAUCUAUGUACAACUCACGUAUAUCUACGAGUAGGGGUGGGUAAAGUUUAAUUUUAAAUUAAAAUUGUUUGAAAACUGAAUCAAAUUGAUUUUUAGUUUAAAAAAAUCGAAUCGAAAUGAUUUUCAUUUACUCAUACUCGAACUGAACUUAUUAUUUAAAUCAGUAAAUCGAUUUAUUAUUAUAAACUAAUAUUAACUUAUUUUUACUUGUUAUUAUGUCUUUAUGUGUUAUUAAUAUUUUAAGAUUUUGUUAUUUUUAUUUGCAUUUUAAUUAAAAUUAAAUUAUGAUUCAAUUUGAUUAUAAUUUAAUUCUAAUAUUUAAAAAUCCGAUCAGUUAAAAAACUGAUUUUAAAAUACACUUUGAUUUUUGAGUUCAAAUUUAAUUGAGUUAGAUUUUAUUCUCCACACCAAUUCAGUUUUUUUGGCCGUCCCUAGCCAACUUUAAUUUUUCUUUCAUUCCUUCUCCUUUUUCUUCUUUUUCUUCAAUCUCCAUCUAUCUCUCUAUGUGUGUUUGGUAUUAUUUUAUUCAGACUUAUACUGAAAAUGAUAGGAAAAUAUGAAAUAGAUUGUAGAUAAUUUUGUUUAGGUAAGUUUUGAAUUAUAGAUGUAAGAUUUAUGGGUCACAUAUGUAAUUAAUUAAUAAAGUGUGUUAGGGUCAUUAUAUAAUUAGCCAAUAAACUAGGGGUCAAAUAAUAUAUAAUAGUUUAUGGCUAAAGAGCAUAAUAGUUAUGAAAAUUAAUAGUGUAGAUACCAGACAGUUUCUAAUUUAAUGAGGGGCUGAAUUGGAAAUACUGCAAUUUGAGAUAUAACUAAUAAUAGUUAUAUAUAGGGGUAAUGGUCUCCAAGGCAAACACAACAAGACUAUUCAGUUUCAAAACCCUAAAGGAGAAAAUUCUCUGGUUCUCUCUAUCCCCAUCAAGAGAGCAAGGUCUUCAGGGUGUUUUGCUGAGGAAGAUCACUCAACCCAUUGGCUCUAUCAUCAUCAUCCCAAGAUUUUAUCAAUGGCAAUUCCCACAGGUACGCUUCCGCCCUUGGUUAUUCAUCAUGUAAUUGGCAUGGAUAGUUAACAAGUGGUAUCAGAGCCUACCAUGUUUAAUUCAUGAUGAAAUUCGGUUAUUGUCUUUAUUUUAGGAUUCAAUUUGGGAAUUUUGACAUGAUUGAAAUCUUAGGGUUUGAAAUUUGGGAAUUUGGAUUUUCAAAUUGCAAACUUAUUGUCCAUGUUUAUAAUUCUAGAUUUUUUUUUUUUUUUGCUUGAAUUAUUAUUGUCCACGUACGGAAGGGACAAAAACAUGUCCUAAGUCAAAUCUCGUUUUCGUGUGAAUGCUUUACUGUGUCUUUUUCCUUCGACAAGCCACCUUAAUGAAUUUAAUUAAGGUUAAACCAUAUGGUAAUAACCAAGACUCAUUGUAAUUCAACAAGUCCUAUUAAAAGUAACAGUCAGACCUAUGACUUAUGCAAAUAAUGGAAUCAAAUAUGUAAAUGGAACAAGUGGGUGAAGGCAUAGUUGAGAAAGCUCUAAACAGCUUAGGAAAAGNNNNNNNNNNNNNNNNNNNNNNNNNNNNNNNNNNNNNNNNNNNNNNNNNNNNNNNNNNNNNNNNNNNNNNNNNNNNNNNNNNNNNNNNNNNNNNNNNNNNNNNNNNNNNNNNNNNNNNNNNNNNNNNNNNNNNNNNNNNNNNNNNNNNNNNNNNNNNNNNNNNNNNNNNNNNNNNNNNNNNNNNNNNNNNNNNNNNNNNNNNNNNNNNNNNNNNNNNNNNNNNNNNNNNNNNNNNNNNNNNNNNNNNNNNNNNNNNNNNNNNNNNNNNNNNNNNNNNNNNNNNNNNNNNNNNNNNNNNNNNNNNNNNNNNNNNNNNNNNNNNNNNNNNNNNNNNNNNNNNNNNNNNNNNNNNNNNNNNNNNNNNNNNNNNNNNNNNNNNNNNNNNNNNNNNNNNNNNNNNNNNNNNNNNNNNNNNNNNNNNNNNNNNNNNNNNNNNNNNNNNNNNNNNNNNNNNNNNNNNNNNNNNNNNNNNNNNNNNNNNNNNNNNNNNNNNNNNNNNNNNNNNNNNNNNNNNNNNNNNNNNNNNNNNNNNNNNNNNNNNNNNNNNNNNNNNNNNNNNNNNNNNNNNNNNNNNNNNNNNNNNNNNNNNNNNNNNNNNNNNNNNNNNNNNNNNNNNNNNNNNNNNNNNNNNNNNNNNNNNNNNNNNNNNNNNNNNNNNNNNNNNNNNNNNNNNNNNNNNNNNNNNNNNNNNNNNNNNNNNNNNNNNNNNNNNNNNNNNNNNNNNNNNNNNNNNNNNNNNNNNNNNNNNNNNNNNNNNNNNNNNNNNNNNNNNNNNNNNNNNNNNNNNNNNNNNNNNNNNNNNNNNNNNNNNNNNNNNNNNNNNNNNNNNNNNNNNNNNNNNNNNNNNNNNNNNNNNNNNNNNNNNNNNNNNNNNNNNNNNNNNNNNNNNNNNNNNNNNNNNNNNNNNNNNNNNNNNNNNNNNNNNNNNNNNNNNNNNNNNNNNNNNNNNNNNNNNNNNNNNNNNNNNNNNNNNNNNNNNNNNNNNNNNNNNNNNNNNNNNNNNNNNNNNNNNNNNNNNNNNNNNNNNNNNNNNNNNNNNNNNNNNNNNNNNNNNNNNNNNNNNNNNNNNNNNNNNNNNNNNNNNNNNNNNNNNNNNNNNNNNNNUUGUUGAGAUGGAAAAACGCUUUGUAAAAAGUGAUAAGGCUGAAACAAGUUCUUUGCUUCAGAAUUUAAUUUCCAUGAAGUAUCAAGGCAAGGGAAAUAUAAGAGAGCACAUUAUGAUGAUGUCCAACAUUGCUUCUAAGCUUAAAGGUCUAAAGCUUGAGUUGUCAGAUGACUUACUCAUUCAUUUAGUAUUGCUGUCUCUUCCUUCGCAAUUCAGUCAGUUUAAGGUGACUUAUAAUUGUCAAAAGGAGAAAUGGACUCUUAAUGAGCUCAUUUCAUUAUGUGUGCAAGAAGAGGACAGGCUGAAGCAAGAUAGGACUGAAAGUGCUCACUUUACUAGCAUCUCUAAAGACAAGGGCAAAAGGAAAAGAAUUGAGGAGCCCAAGAACAAAGCUGCUGCUAAGGGUCCAGAACAAAAGAAGCAGACUAAGGAUAACAACUGCUUCUUCUGCAGGAGUUCUGGACACGUGAAGAAGGAUUGUGCCAAAUAUCACGCUUGGCGUGUUAAGAAAGGUAUGAUUCUGUCUUUGGUCUGUUCUGAGGUUAAUUUAGCUUCAGUACCUAGAAACACUUGGUGGUUAGACUCUGGUGCAACUACUAACAUCAGUGUUUCAAUGCAGGGUUGCCUGAACUUCCGAAAGCCUAGUGAUACUGAAAGAUGGAUCUAUGUAGGAGAUGGGAAGAAGGUAGAAGUUGAAGCCAUAGGAAAAUUUAGAUUAUUAUUAAGUUCCGGUCAUUAUUUGGAUUUAAAAGACACUUUUGUUGUACCGUCAUUUAGACGGAAUUUGAUCUCUAUUUCUUAUUUGGACAAAUCAGGAUAUUAUUGUUCAUUCGGGAAUAAAGAAUUUACUUUGUCUUUAAAUUCGAAUGUUGUUGGAACCGGUUUACUUUCUGGUUAUGAUAAUCUUUAUUUGUUGGAAACUGUGGCUAACUAUAAUGAAACCUUGAAUGUGGAAUCACGUGGUACUAAGCGGAAAAUUGACAAUUUCAAUUCAGGGGUGCUUUGGCACAAGCGUCUAGGUCACAUCUCUAAAAAUAGAGUUGAACGACUUGUGUCAGAUGGAAUUUUAGAUUCCAUUGACUUCACAGACUUUAACGUUUGUGUAGCAUGCAUUAAAGGAAAACAGACUAAAGAUAAGAAAUUAGGCGCAUAUAGAGCUACAGACGUCUUAGAAUUGAUACAUACGGACAUCUGUGGGCCAUUUCCAACUCCUUCUUGGAAUGGUCAACAAUAUUUUAUAUCAUUCAUAGACGAUUAUUCUAGAUAUGCCUACCUUUACCUAAUUCACGAAAAGUCCCAAUCAAUAGACGUGUUCAAAUCCUUUAAGGCAGAAGUUGAGAAUCAACUUAAUAAAAGAAUUAAAAAGGUCAAAUCUGAUCGUGGUGGUGAAUACUACGGCAGAUAUGACGGUUCAGGUGAACAACGUCCGGGACCAUUUGCCAAAUACCUAGAGGAAUGUGGAAUCGUCCCACAAUACACUAUGCCGGGGUCACCCAGCAUGAAUGGUGUAGCUGAAAGACGAAACAGGACUCUUAAGGAUAUGGUAAGGAGUAUGAUUUGUCAUUCCACCUUGCCAGAGUCACUCUGGGGAGAGGCAUUAAAAACAGCAGCAUACAUUCUUAAUAGAGUACCAACUAAGGCAGCGGCUAAAACACCUUAUGAGCUUUGGAUUGGGCGUAAGCCUAGUCUGAAGCACCUUCAUGUUUGGGGAUGUCCAGCUGAGGCAAGGCCUUAUAGGCCGAAUGAAAAGAAAUUUGAACCCCGAACAAUUAGCAGCUAUUUUAUAGGGUACUCAGAAAAAUCAAGGGGCUAUAAAUUUUAUGAUCCUAAUUUGAGAACAAUUUUUGAGACGGGAACGGCAACGUUCUUUGAGGAUAUUGAGUUUGGGGGGAAGAUUAAGGUUAAAGAUUUUGUCUUUGAGGAAGAAUCGGUAACAAUUCCAGAACUGAUUCUUCCACCAAUUGACUUUCCCAUUAUUGAACAAACUCAAGAUGAUCUGGUUGUUCAGGAAGAACAAAAUCCAGAUCAAAUUCAAGAUCCUCAAGAACAAGUGCCUCAAGAGCCAGCUCCAUUGCGGAGAUCCACUAGAGAAAGGAAAAAUGCUAUUUCGGAUGAUUAUGUAGUAUUUAUCAAUGAGGUAGAGGAAAAUGUUGGCAUGACGGAAGACGACCCAGUCAACUUUCAUCAAGCCAUGCAAGAUUCUCGUUCAGAUAAGUGGAUCGAAGCAAUGAAUGAGGAGUACAAGUCUAUGCAAGACAAUUCAGUUUGGGAACUUAUCCCAUUACCUGAAGGAAAGAAACCCAUUGGUUGCAAAUGGAUUUUUAAAACCAAGCGGGAUUCCAAUGGUAAUGUGGAGAGAUAUAAGGCACGUCUUGUAGCUAAGGGUUAUACUCAAAAGGAAGGGAUUGAUUAUAAAGAGACUUUCUCUCCGGUUUCAUCGAAGGACUCUUUAAGAAUAAUCAUGGCUCUUGUUGCUCACUUUAAUUUGGAGCUUCAUCAAAUGGAUGUAAAAACAGCUUUUCUCAAUGGCGACAUUGAUGAGACGAUCUAUAUGGUGCAGCCAGAAAACUUUGUGUUGGGAGACCCAAAGAAUAUGGUGUGCAAACUAAGAAAAUCCAUUUAUGGGCUAAAACAAGCUUCUCGUCAAUGGUACCAUAAAUUUCAUCAAGUAAUUCUCUCAUUUGGUUUUGAGAUGAAUACAGUUGAUGAUUGUGUGUAUCAUAAGUUCAGUGGGAGCAGACAUAUUUUCCUGGUCUUGUAUGUUGAUGACAUACUGCUUGCCACUAACGAUAUAGGCAUGUUGCACGAAACUAAGAAAUUUCUAUCAAAGCAUUUUGAGAUGAAAGAUCUUGGUGACGCCUCUUUUGUAUUAGGAAUUCAGAUACACCGAGACAGAUCUCGAGGUAUUCUUGGAUUGUCACAAAAGAGCUAUAUCGAUAAGGUUCUCAAAAGGUUUGGGUUACAGGAUUGCAAACCAGGGGACACCCCAGUUGCUAAGGGAGACAAGUUUAGUCUCAAACAGUGCCCUAAGGGAAGUUUGGAAAUUCAAGAAAUGCAAAAGAUCCCUUAUGCUUCAGCUGUAGGGAGUCUUAUGUAUGCCCAAGUAUGUACGCGUCCAGACAUAGCGUUCAUAGUAGGGAUUUUAGGCAGAUAUUUAAGCAAUCCAGGUCUUGACCAUUGGAAAGCAGCCAAGAGGGUCAUGAGAUAUUUGAAGAGAACAAGAAACUACAUGCUCACAUAUAGGAGGUCAGACCAGUUAGAGAUCACUGGGUACUCUGACUCGGAUUUUGCGGGAUGCCAAGACAGCUUAAGAUCAACUUCAGGCUAUGUCUUUCUGUUAGCUGGUGGAGCAGUUUCUUGGCGUAGUGCCAAGCAAGGUCUUACUGCCUCAUCAACUAUGGCAGCAGAGUUCGUAGCAAUCCAUGAGGCAUCUGACCAGGGCAUUUGGCUGAGAAAUUUUGUCACGGGGCUGCAAAUAGUUGAAGGGAUUGAAAGACCACUCAAGUUGUAUUGUGACAAUAGAUCAGCAGUCCUGUAUUCUAACAAUAAUAGGAGCUCAACCAAGUCAAAGCACAUUGACAUUAAGUUCCUAGUUGUUAAAGAGAAGGUACAAAGUGGACAGAUAUCCAUAGAACACUUAAGGACAAACUCCAUGAUUGCGGAUCCACUCACUAAAGGUCUACCACCCAAGGUCUUUCAUGAGCAUACUGCUCACAUGGGUGUGCUACAGUUUGAGGAAUCUUGAUUUUAGUGGGAGUUUCGUCCAUUAUGUAAUUCAUGUUCUAUGUUUAAUUGUAAAGUACAAAUACAUUGUAUUUGGACUUUCUGAUCAGAAAUAAAGUUUAAAGUAUUCAGUUUUUGGUUACUUUGUACAUUUAAGUUAUGGUAUGAUCUCAUUCGAUAAAGUAGGACCAGUUGAAAAUUGACAUGCAUUGACCAACUUCAUGUAAUUUUCAUGCUACACUUUUCAUAAUGGGUCUAUGUCAUUUAGUUGUGUCAGUACGGGUGAUCAUUGAUGGGUUUAGUUAUGCUUAUUAUGACGAAAGCCUCUUUGGUUCCAUGUGCUGAUAUGAUUAAUGGACGGGACAAUUUGGAUUAUACUCAAGGUAAUUAUAAUGACAUUUUUUGACGUCAUAAAGUCUAACACACUCCUAAGGAUACAUGUGUGACCAGUGGGAGAUUGUAAGAUUUAUGGGUCACAUAUGUAAUUAAUUAAUAAAGUGUGUUAGGGUCAUUAUAUAAUUAGCCAAUAAACUAGGGGUCAAAUAAUAUAUAAUAGUUUAUGGCUAAAGAGCAUAAUGGUUAUGAAAAUUAAUAGUGUAGAUACCAGGCAGUUUCUAAUUUAAUGAGGGGCUGAAUUGGAAAUACUGCAAUUUGGGAUAUAACUAAUAAUAGUUAUAUAUAGGGGUAAUGGUCCCCAAGGCAAACACAACAAGACUAUUCAGUUUCAAAACCCUAAAGGAGAAAAUUCUCUGGUUCUCUCUAUCCCCAUCAAGAGAGCAAGGUCUUCAGGGUGUUUUGCUGAGGAAGAUCACUCAACCCAUUGGCUCUAUCAUCAUCAUCCCAAGAUUUUAUCAAUGGCAAUUCCCACAGGUACGCUUCCGCCCUUGGUUAUUCAUCAUGUAAUUGGCAUGGAUAGUUAACAAUAGAGCUAUGAAAGGUAAGUUUUAAAAGAUUUCUUUUUUGUUUGUCAAAAAAAUAAAAAAUCUUCCUACUAAACACGCUGAGCAUCUACAACGGUGAAUUCAAUAUGGGUUCUUUAGAUGGGGUCCACUGUACCACAUCAUCCUGAAGCAAUUCACUCAUUUUCUACUCCAUCGGUGAACUCAACAUGAGUUCGUAGCAUCUACAACGGGAGUGAAAAUGAGUUCGUAGCAUCUACAACGGGAGUGAAAAUGAGUUCGUCCGUCAUCGUGUAAUUACUUAACUUCUAGUUUUUUGUGGGUUCAUCCUUGGAGUUGUACCAAGGUGUCAUCUCGGUACUGUCAGGAAGUAACGUGCUUCAUAGCAGUUACCUUUUUUUUCUACCUUUUAUUAAUUUAUUAAUAAUAAUAAAUUUAUCAUUUUUUAUUAAUUUAUAGCCGUUAACUUCUUUUUAAUUUAUUAAAUAAUAAUAAUUUUGUAACCAUUAGCUUUUUUGUAGUUAAUAUAUAACCGUUAGCCUUUUUUUUCCCUUUAAUUACGAUUGUUAGCUCAUUAAUAGAAACAAUUUGUUAUUCAUGCUUUUUCUUCACAAUUUUUGUUAUAGAAGUUUGUUAAUUUUAAAUUUUUUAUUUAAAUUUUAAAUUAAAAUUUUAUUUUAAUUUUAAAUUAAAAUUUUAUUUUAAUUUUAAAUUAAAAUAAUGUAUAAUAAUAUUAAUUAGAAUAUUUAAAUUAAUAUUUUAAGUUAUAAUUUUAAACUGAAUGAGUUGAUUUAGGGUGAUGUGGCAUAGUAGAACUUGAAUCAUGUUGAGUUCACCGUGGGAGUAGAAAAUGAAUGAAUUGCUUCAACAUCAUGUGAUACAGUGGACCCCAUCUAAAUAACUCAUAUUGAGUUCACUGUUGUAGAUGCUCUAGAGCAUGCAACCGAACAGUUUUCAUUUUGUGUGCUUGUUGCUGUUUUUGUUGUUCUUGCUUUUGGUUGAGUUUUUGUUUUACCUAUUUGAAUUUUUCAUUUGCCUUUUUGUGUUGAAGUUCGUUCUUGAAGUACCUAGUUUUCCCUUUCCCUAAUUACUUCGAGUUUUUUUAUUCACCGAUUUUUAUAUAAUAUUGUUGCAUUGUUGUUUUUUUAGUCUUGCUAAAAAGUAUAGGGAACUCAUUGACGUAAUAAAAAUGAAAAUUUUACUUUGAAAACAAAUUAUUUUAAAUUUUUAAAAAGUUGAAAACAUAACUUUUAAAAACAUCUUAAUUUAAAUAUUUCUAUUUUUAUUUUCUUUAACAAACACAUUUUAUGCUCUCGUUAACACUUGCCAUUUUUUACAUGGUUUUCUAAUUUAUAAUUUAUUCUUAUAUAUCUUUUUUGUUGUUGAGUAAUUACGAGAUUUAAUUUUGGUACAUAACAUUUAUUUUCCUUUUAUACACAAAUAUAACAAUACAAUUUUUUUCUAUCUAAAGAUACCAAGUUGAUUGGAAAAACACUGUUAUUUAAAAAACAACGGUUGUUUAAACCUUAUAAGAAAUCAAGGCAAUAGAAGUAAGUUGUUUUUAUUUAUCAUUGUUUAAUUUUAAUUUAUAUAGUUUAUAAUAAAUUUUAAUAUAUUUUUAAUGUUCUCUAUUCUUAUAUUAUAGUAGAUUAUUUAUGUUUUUUCUCUUUACAAAACCGAACAAAGUUCAUUCAAUAUUUUGUAUAUUUGUCCCAUAAUUAUUUAUAUUUAUCGUUGACAAAUUGUGUCCUCUUUUAUUAUGCCCCAAUUGAAAUUUGUAUUGUCACACAGGUAGCGUGUUACUGGUAUUUCAUAUGUGUCUCGUUCGAACAUCAAACAAAAAUAUAAUUUUAUAUAUUAGUGAUAAAUAUUUAUCUCAUAUUUGUUAUAUUUAUUAAUGACAAGUAUUUAUUUUGUGUUUUUAUACGUACCAAUUGAAAAAAAUGUAUUUCAUACUUUUUGAAUCUUGAUAUAUCUCUAUUGUUAAUAAUUUUGUAAAUUAAUUUGAAAAUAACAAAAUACAUUUAAUGACUAUGUUGACCAACUAAAGACACGUUAAAAGAAUAAAAUGACUAACAAAUUAAAAAAUAUAAUUAAUAUGUUUUAUUUUUAAAGAUUAUUGUGACAAAGUUUUACAUAUUUAGAGGGUAAAAUGAUUGUUUAUUUUGAUGAAAGGUCAAGUUCUUCUUUAUCUUUUAUCUAUGGCUUUAUGCUAUUUUCUCUUCCAAGCAGAGCAACUCACUAAAUGCAGAAAAUAAUAUAAAAGCCUGGUUGUUUUGUUAUUUUGUACAUCAUCCCAAUUCCUCUUUCUUCCUUCAAUUUUUUUGUGAGUUUUUGCCUUGUCAUGUUGCAGCUUGGAGUUUUUGUUCUAACCAUAAUAGAUUAUGGCAUUCUCACUGUAAAUAUCAAAUGAAUAAGUUGUUUUAACUUGUUUUAAAAUGAUGGGCACACGUAAGACACUUAUGAUGAGUUGCACCAAGUUGCUGUAAUGCUUAAGUUAAAUAAUUGGUCUUAAUUUCUCUUCACUUCAUUCUAGCAACAUUCUGAGCCUUCUUCUUUCUCCUCUUUUUUGUUUUUUGAAACAAAGGUAUAAGAAAAGAAAGAACAUUUCAUCUUGAUAUAACUUUUUUCGGAUUUUCAAAAUCCAUGCAAUCAUCUCAUUUGAAAUUAUGAAGUUAUUUCUUUGUUAUCUUUUGGCCUUGGUCAUGCUAUGUGUUAAUUAGUAAUAAACAAAAAGUUUUAGCUUGUGGAUCAAAGGAGCUAUCUUGGAACAUAAUAACUUACUAUUUUAGUUUUGGUGAGCUUGAAUAGAGACAUUGAAUUGUAAGUUGAAUCUAUUUUGAAACCUGGAUACAUCAUCAAUUUUAAGUUAAAACAAGUGACAUAAUAACAAAAAAAACUUAGGUUAAUAUUUGAUACUGGAUUUUUUACCCAUAUAUCCCACUUUUCAGAAAACUUCACUAAAAUGCUCUAUUUUCAAAAACUGUUACCAAAAUGCCCUACUUUUUAGGGGAACCAAGAAAACUCUCCUUGGGGGAGCGACACCUCAAAGAGCAAAUUUUUUUCCCCUAGUAGGAGGUCGCUGGCCGGAGAUGCGACCUCCCAAAGGGU